AUCUGGAAGAAGUUUUGAAAUUUUACUACCUCCAAACUGUUCAAGUUGGUACUAAAUCUACUAUUAAAGCUUAUUGCAAUGUCUAAGAUUUGGGCAUAAAUAGUUUUAUGUAAAAGAAAUAAUUCUUGGUCUCUCUUUAUGUAAUAUAAUAAAGGCUAUCCCAACUCAACAUUGAAGAUAGCCAAAUCAACUGUGUCUUGAAAGGGUUGUAAAAGUUGUAAUAAUGGUGAAGACAAAUACAUAUUUCUAGUGUGUUGGUAUUAUGUUUUUAACCAAUCUGUAAAUAGACGUAGUCUACACUCCUUUUGUAUCAUUCGAAUUUGACAUAGUGAAUUUUCUUUUUCUCCGCACGUAGUUUUUCCCCGAAAGGGCUUCCACGUAAAAUUUUGUGUGUUCUAUUUUCUCUUUCUUUAUCAUUCAUUGUCAUUAUCAACGUUCAACUUUUACAGUAUAAUUUAUCAUAAUAAUUCAUUAAGAAAGUUUUUUCAUGUCGUGUUUGAAUUAUAAUGACAUAAUUUAAAGAAAACUAUAUGUUUAUAUUUUAUUUCAAAUUUUUAAUGCAUCUAAAUUAUUAUGAAUUAUGUUAUACUUUACUUAGUAAUUCCUUUUAUGUAGAUUAUGUUUAUGUACUUUUCAUGUAAUUUUUGUGUCACUUAUAUUUUAUCUAUUUUUUAUAUUAUUUUUAACUCAUGCUUUAGUUUAUUUCAUAUUUUGUAUAAUUUGUUAUAGUAAUUUAAUUUUUAUCAUAUUCAUGUCUCUCUUGUUGGGAAAUAGAAAUGAAAUAAAACAUAAUUUUGGUAAUUAUUUAGUAAACAAGUAGUGGAAAUCGUUAACUCCACAAGUAAAGUUAAGAUUUUGUUACAUGUUUAAUUUCUUUUUUAUUUCAUUUUUUAAUUACAAUUUAAGGAUACAUGGCAAAAUCUUAUCUUUGUUUGUGGAAUUAAAAAUUUUCACGACCAAUGUACCAAAUAAUUAUCCUAUAAUUUUAAUGAGAAUAUAUUUUGUACAUUGUUAGUGGAGUUUUUAAACUUCACAAGCAUAGUUAGGGGUUUCACAAGGAUUCUAUAAAGGUAUAGUAUAAUAUUUAGAAAAUAUUAAAAAAAUAGACACAUAUAAAAAAAUUAAGACUAUUUGUGGAAUAAAAAAAUGCAUUAUCCGUAUACUAAAUAUGUAACAUGUUAGAAUUAAGUGACCCAAAUCCUUAUUUAAAUCAAAUACAAUGGUAAAAUAAAAUAAAAGUAAAAUCCCUAUAGAAUUAUACUUCUUUUUUUAAACCUUAUUUGUAACACCCCAAAUCUGGCCUAGAUGUUAUGGUCGAAUCUGACGUGUCACAUUUGAAGUGUCUUUCGAAAAUUGGUAUUGUUGGUAAUAAUUUCAUUUCAAAGUUUAAAAACCUCUUAAUUAUUAUUUGACAAAUCAUCUAUCCAAAACAUUUACCUUGCUGUCUUGCUUUUGUUAUAGUAAGCUGAUCUAAAAUCGCGGAAGCUUUUGAAACUCUGUUGUUUAGGUCUCGUGUCUUUGAAAACAAUAAUUAUUUUGAAAAUCCGUCUUCUCCUAAACUGACAGUUUAAAAUAAGUAAGCAAAAGACCAAUUAAAAAUUUAAACAAACUUAUUGGCCAUAUUACAAAAACAAAACCCAAUAUAUAAGUUAAAUUAAAAUAAAAGCAAGUGUAAACAGCAGCAGUUGUGUGGCCACCUCCAAAUCCCUCGCAGCACUGAAUCGCCUAUGGCUGAGGAUUACCUGCACAGUUAAAAGGAGAGGGUGAGUUUACGAAACUCAGUGUGUAAUCUUCUACCAAACAGUCAGCCUACAACAUGCAGUAAUAGUCUGGGCCUGAGCCCUAUGCAGUAACAGUACAGUGUGGGCCUUAGCCCGAUAUAGUAACAGUGUGGGCCUUAGCCCAAUACAGUAACAGUGUGGGCCUUAGCUCAAUACAGUAACCGUGUGAUAAUGCAACCCAUCCCAAUCCAGCCAACACACCAGUGCGUACGACCAACACACCAUGUAGGGAUAAAAUCGACUUACCCAGCCAACACACCAAUAUCGCAGCAAAGCUACCAGUAAAAGUAUUGCAGUGAAGAUGCCCGUAACAGUAUAUGUGGCAAAGCCACCAGUAUAGUAUACUUCCCCUAUAUCAACUUCUCAACCCCAUGCAGUAUGUCAUGUCAUAAAUCAUACGUGUAUGCAGAGUAUCAUAUUCAAUCAUAACAUACAUAUCAUAGAGCAAAUCGGUCAUACAUACAUAAGGCCAUACAAACAUUUCGACUCCUAGGGGUAUAACAAUCAUUUUACCCUCUGGAGGUAUUUCGAUAGUUUUACCCUUCGAGGGUAUUUCAGUUAUUUUAUCCUUUGGGAGUAUUUCGGUCAUUUUACCCUUCAAGGUUAUUUCGAUUAUUUUACCUUUUGAGGGUAUUUCAGUCAUUUAUUAACCGCUCGAAAGGCCCGCAGUCGCCUGGAGUGACUUAGGUAACCUAAAUGGUCAUAAUAGUGUAAAUGGGCACAAGGCCUAUUACUCGGCCCAAGUGGGCCCACACACUAGUGCAGUCCGUUCAGCCCAUAAUUCGCCACAGCUAUGAUUUCUACAUAACUCAGUCUAUUAUUUGCCACAAAUCGUAGUUUUCAUCCGUGAGGGGCCCACGAGCCUAUUGGGCCCAUACGCCCUAUUUUGGCCCAACGUGGCCCAUUGUAGCCUACGCCCAUGGAAUUGCUCAUGGAGGCCUCUACAGUCUAUUGCCCAUGAUUUGAGGAUUUGGUUUACCACAUGAGCGAUCACACGCUCAUGUGGUCUCAAAUGCAGUACAUUCAGCUUCUCGGCUUUUGCCAUCUAACAAUUAUAGCGGGGUGUCUACACUCCUGAUUGUGAAAACGCACCAAGAUCCACGAGCACCCAAAAUCUACAUUCAUACAAGUUUCCAAUUAGUCGCUAAAUAAUAGGGUUAAUCUCCUUCUUUUACAUUCUUAACCAAAACUAAAUUAAUACUUGCCUCGACUGUCAAAAGUGUCUUAGUCCACUUAUACCACUGACGAAGGUUAACUACAAUCUUUUUGACGAAUAUCUGCAUUGAAAACGGAUUUAUGAAACAAAAUUGUUUAAUCAUGUGGUUUAAAUCCACUUCAUGAUAACUUACAGAAAAACAACAAGCAUUCGGCCUACACCUAGAAUGCUAGCCCACAUACCUGUCUUAAAUCGAGAGAAGAGAGAAAGGUUUUGACGACUUGGUAUCAGUUGAUACUCCUACAAACAUCAAGGAGAUCGAACCGUCAGAGAAGAGUGAUAUACAGCUGAACCAUAGACAAUAAAGGGAGAUACCCUCGAUCAAAAAGGAAAUAAUAGGAGGUAUAAAUCAAAGACAGAAAAAGAAUGAUAUUCGGCCAAAAAAGAAGAAGAGAAGUGAAGAGAAGAGAAAGAAGGUUCGGCCAGCAGAGAAGAGAAGAGAGAAAAAGAGAGAAGGGAGGAUUUGGCAAUAAGAGGAGAGGGGGAAGAGGAAAGAAGAAAGCAGAAAAGGACAAACCCAAGAAGUACUUCCCAACACUUGGCAAAAAUUUGGCAGAUACUACCCCAAAAAGUUCUUCCAAAUGACGAAAACAAGAACUUUUCCCCCUGAGCUGAAUUCUGAAGGCUUGAAUUACCCUAAACAGCACACACUACCCCUCCUAAUCAAAUUCCUUGAUUUUCUCCUAAUAUCUCUCCCUUUAUGCCUCAUUGAUUUACUCCACCAAUUCCUUUUCAACUCCCCCAACAACUCCAUUCAAAUCCUAUUCAAACUCCCCUUAGUUGUGUUUCAGUCCAACUCCACUACCUACACUGCUCAAGCAGCAAAAUAAAUACUCCAUUGGACAACCUAGGACUUGAACCUUAGACCUCACAGUUACACAACACGCCACCUUGCCACUAGACCACAAGCUCUUUUUGUGUCAUAAAACCAAAAAUAAUAUUUAUAAGGCCUAUAUGCCUAAGUCUAGAUUCAUUUAAGAGUAAAACUAAAAAUUCUGCAAAAGCUAAGACUUGAACCCAGGCUUCUCAAACACCCUCAUACACACCCAUAUCACUUAACCAUUAAAGCAAACAAGCAAUUUGUGUCAAAUCAUGCAAAAAUUAAAGAUUUAGAUUUUUCGGGCGUUACAUUAUUAAACUCCAUCUAUUUGAUAUUGAUUAGAAUAAGGUGUUUCAAUCUUACUACAUUCCUAUUAGAAUAUGGUUUUACAAGCCUAUAAAUAGACAUAGUCUACUCCUCUUGUAAUCAUUCGAAUUCAACAUAGUGAAUUUUCUUCCCCUCUGUCCGUGGUUUUUUCGAAAGGAUUUCUACAUAAAAUCUGUGUUAUUUAUUUUUAUUUCUUUUUUGUGAUAUAUUGUCAUUAUCAACAUUCUAUUUUUACAAAUUGGUAUCAGAGCUUUCAGGUUGUUCAUCUCAAUCACAGUAAUGGCAUUUUUGAAGUAUGAAAUUCCACUGUUAGAUCGUAACACCAAAUUCGCGUUGUGACAAAUAGAGAUGUAGGCAGUUCUUGCACAAAUGGACUUAGAGGAAGCCCUGCUAGGGGUAAAUAAGAUGCCUUCAACAUUGACUGAGGAAGAGAAGAAGUGUGAGGAUCGAAAGGCCUUAACACAGUUACAUCUACAUUUGUCUAACGAAAUUUUACAGGAUGUGAUAAAUGAGAAGACCGCCGCUGGAUUAUGGAAGAGGUUGGAACAAAUAUGUAUGUCGAAAACUCUAAGUAGUAAGCUGCAUAUGAUGUAGCGUCUUUAUGCUCAUCGUUUGGAGGAAGGUGUGUCUGUGCACGAACACUUGACAGUGUUUAAAGAAAUUCUCUCAAAUUUGGAGCCCACGGUGGUUCAGUAUAAUAAGGAAGAUCUAGGGUUGAUUUUACUUUGUUCAUUGCCCCCGUCUUAUUCAACCUUUAGAGAUACAAUUUUAUAUUGCCACGAGUCUCUCACAGUUGAUGAGGUUUAUGAUUCUUUAACCUCGUAUGAUAAGAUGAAGCAUCUUGUGGUUAAAAUCGAAUCUCAAGAAGGUCUUAUUGUUCGUGGGAGACAAGAUCAGAAUGCUGAUGAUGAUCGUGGAAGGAAAAAGGAACGAAAUCCUCGUGGUAAAUCUAAGGGUAGAUCGAAGUCUUCAAACAGAGGUAAAACUUGUAACUUCUACAAGAAAAAAUGGCACAUUAAAUCUAAAUGCUAUAAGCUACAAAACAAGAUCAAAAGGGAGGCUGCGAAUCAAAAUGGAAAACAAUUAAAAAAUUUUGGUAAGGCUGAUGUUGUAGAAGACUACAGCAAUGGUGAACUUCUAGUCGCUUCUGUCAACAAUUUUAAAGUGAGCGAGGAGUGGAUCCUUGAUUCGGACUACACCUUCCACAUGAGUCCCAAUCAGGAUUGGUUUACAACUUACGAAACAGUGUCUGAAGAUGUUGUUUUGAUGGGAAAUAAUGCUUCAUGUAGAAUUACAGGUGUCAAAACCAUUUUUUGAAAAACAAAAAUUUUCGGUUGUCGACUUUUAAAAAAUGAAAAUUGGGAGUCGCCACCAAUCUUUUAUUGAGGUGUGAUUGGAUCACCUAAAAAAAUGGCUUUGGUCUACGAGUUUUAGAAAAACAGAUCCUGGAGUCGGUUACGUAUGAGGAAGGAUUAGCACCCUCAUAACACCCAAAAUUGGUACCUAGUUAAUUAAUUAAUGUCUUAAUGUCGAAAAUUUGAAAAAUAUAAUCCUUAGGAAAAACUUAAAAACAUUACGUAUUAAGACCUUUAUCAUUUCAAAGAAAGAAAAUGUCACACCAAAUGCGUUAGGGCACAACAUUUUUAUUUCCUUAAAAAUGAAUUAGGCCAGAAUACUCGUGUAAUAAAAAGUUAAAAGGAAUAUCCAUUUAUUCAAGAUUUAAGAAAUCACGGCCCAAUACGUUAGGGCACAAUUCCUCCAAAAUCCCAAACUCGGAAUAUUUCCUAUAUUAUUUUUUAGAAAAAAUCCCCAUUUCGAGAAAUCAAUGCGUCACAUCCAAUACGUUAGGACACAACGUGUUGAAUUCCCAAUAAUGAGUUCUUAUUUUUUGAUUAAAGAGAAAUGCUCGAUUGUAGAUUUAACAAAGAAAAUCAGAACCCAAUACGUUAGGGCUCAAUUCCCUUGAAAAUCCUAAAUACGAGCAUUAUCUCAAUUUAGAAUUUUUUUUUAAAAUCGAGUAAAAAAUGAUGUACUGUUAUAUUGAAUGCAUGUAUAAAUAUCGCAAUAAAAAAUAACAAUAAUAAAUACGAAAAUUGUAUAGAAAUAAGAUAAACAAAUAAAUAAAUAAAAAUAAAAAACCAAUGACAUGCAAAGUAUAACAUAUAUAUACGUACAUAUAUAUAUAAGGUAAUAAAUAUAUAAAUCAUAAAAAUAAUAAUUACACAUAUAAACUUAAAAAAGAAAAAAAAGAAAAUAUUUUGAAAUUAAUUAGUUCUAAAAAAGGGACUAAUUUUAAACUAUGAUAAAAAACUAGGGAAAAUUCCUAAAUAAAUAAAGUAUGGAGGACUAAAUUGAACGCGCGAAUUACAUAGAGGGGCUAGAAGGGCAAUUUUCCCUUCUCCUCUGAAACGGCGCCUUUCAAAAAGGUUAAAUUGAAAUUCAAAAUAAAUUAAAGGACGAAAUUAAAAAAACAAAAGAACCUAAUUGAAAAUAUAUUAAAAGGCGGAGGGGCCAAAAGUGCAAUUUGCCCCUCCGCAUAAAAACACGCGGACCCUAAAGCGAAUCGGGUCAGAUUCGGGUCGGGUACUCAAAACGACGUCAUUUUGGGCGUCUGAGGGUUCCCCAAAACGGUACCAUUUUCGUACCCUAUAAAAGCCCCUAACCUAAAAAAAAAUCAUUUCAAAACUAAUUUUUUUAAAAAACUUAAAAAAAAACUCUCCUUCCCCCAGUUCGUUCGCCAGGGGUCCGGCCAUCGGCCGGUCGUCGGCCACCGUGGCCGCUGCCGAUCUCUGGCACCAGCAUCGCCGUCUGCGAUGGCCGAAAAAGGGAAAAUCCCCUUUUUAUAAUUUUUGUAUCCCUCUAGGCCCAAAUCUGGGCUAAAAAUUUCCAAAAUCAGCGAAAAAACUAGAAAAACCCUAGAAAUCUUUCGGCAUCUAGUCGUCUGUCAUCGGAGACGAUCCUCGGCCUUCCUUUCGGUGUUUCAGAAGCCAAAAAGGUAGUUUCCUUCUCUUCUAUUAUUUUUGUUUAUUCGUACGUAAAAUAAAAAAUACAAAAAUAAAUAUAACAACAAAGAAACAAGUAUCAACCUUUUUUUUUGACCGAUUUAUUCUCUGUAUUGCGAAAGUACAAGUCCUUUUUCUAUUUGAUUUUUUUUAUCCCCAUUACAGUAUGUUUAAUGGCUUUUUAUAGCCAUUCUCAAAAUAUAUAAAGAAACUAAUCUGCUUAUAUUGAUUUGAUUUUCAAAUCUUCGAUCUUGUUUUCCAUAUACUGUUUAUUUCCUUUUUUGUGCACAGAUGAAGAUUCGGGGGCUGAGAUUCGGAGGCGAGGUUAGGUGGCUGCGGCGCGAGACUCAUCACAUAAACCCUAGGGUUUUUGAUAUUGUGUUGGGCCAUUGUUUUGGGCCUCUACUUAUUUUGGGUUUUGGGCUACAUAGGCCCGUUGGAAAUUGGGCCCUUUUAAGCCCGGGCAAAAUCUAUUGAUACAACUGCCCCUCUUUGCUUGUUGUCGCGUAACGAGAACAGAGCAAAGACUUUAAAACUCUCGAUUUUGCCCGGUCUUGUCGGAUCUUGGUACUCUUCUUCUUCUUCAAGUAGCCUCAUUCCUUCCUACUGCAUCCUCAGAGGUAUAUGGAUUAAUGUUUCAAUCUACUUUACUACAACUUUUAUAGCUUCAACUUGAUUUAGUCUACUCCUGGUGCAACUUCAGGGAGAUUAGACUAAAUACGAUCUGCUCUCUACAACUUCGGAGAGAUAAGAUCCAAUGUUUUAAACCACUCCACUACAACUUCAGGAAGAUAGGAUUAUCGACUUUAAUCUGCUCCACUGCAACUUCAGGGAGAUAAGAUUUGCCAUCUUCAGUCUGCCUCACUACAACUUCAGGAGGAUAAGACUUGCCCACUUAGUCUGCUCCACUGCAACUUUAGGGAGAUAAGACUAGAUGCGAUCUGCUCUCUACAACUUCAGAGAGAUAAGAUCUAAGGUUUUAAUCCGCUCACUACAACUUCAACAAGAUUGGAUUAUCGGCUUUAAUCUGCUCCACUGUAACUUCAGGGAGAUAAGAUUUGCCAUCUUCAGUCUGGCUCACUGCAACUUCAAGAGGAUAAGACUAGAUACGAUCUGCUCUCUGCAACUUCAGAGAGAUAAGAUUUAAGGUUUUAAUCCACUCACUGCAACUUCAGCGAGAUAGGAUUAUCGACUUUAAUCUGCUCCACUGCAACUUCAGGGAGAUAAGACUUUCCAUCUUCAGUCUACCUCACUACAACUUCAGGAGGAUAAGACUAGAUACGAUCUGCUUUCUGCAACUUCAGAGAAAUAAGAUCUAAAGUUUUAAUCCGCUCACUGCAACUUCAGCGAGAUAGGAUUACCGACUUUAAUCUGCUCUACUGCAACUUCAGGGAGAUAAGAUUUGCCAUCUUCAGUCUGCCUCACUGCAACUUUAGGAGGAUAAGACUUGCCUACUUAGUUUGCUCCACUACAACUUCAGGGAGAUAAGACUCGAUCUGUUUUCUUCACUGAUCUGCUCUCUGGGAAACAUGACCUAUAUAGUGAACCUAAUUAUGCCUAAUAAUUAGGAUGGCAUAAAAUGCAUCAAAUGCUCCAAACUAGACAUGUACGAAUGACAUUUGAAUGGAUGCAGAAUGUCAUUUUUCAAGAAUUAUCAUUUCUUGAAGUUUAUUAAGGUUUUGUCACUGACGGCUUUUGCUUGGCUGAUAUCUUCGAAAAAAAACUCAAUCAAAUUGCCCCCCAUUGUGCACUUCAAAGCUCAACCCUCUAGUACACAGAAUUUGUACUAUAUUUCUUCCAUCGUGACUUAAGAGUAGGAAAAUUUGACUCUUCUCAGUCGUCUCCUAUCGUAAUUCAAGGAUACAGAUUAUGAAAUUUGUUUACACCACUCUCAGGGUGUCUUAUCAAAUGCUUAUGCCUAAAUGAGGGGCUUUCUUUCCAUAGGGGACUUCUUCCUACCCCAUCAAGACUUCUUGCUGUCUCAUUCACUAUUUAGACAACCAAAUUCGAAAAAGCAGUCUUAAUUUAGACUUUUUCCUUCUUAGGCUCUUUAUCUUUUGAACUCAGGGUGUUUUAAACAAUAGUCCUGUUUCAGGUUACCAAAUUAUUUAGAAAUUCCCAGAGUAAUAUACCAAACUUCUUUUGUGAAAGUUUAUUAGUCCAUCAAUCAUUAUUCUAAUGCGACAUGCUUGCGCAAAGAUCAAAAAUACAGAGUAAGAGAUGAAGUAAUUCAAGAGUUUAUUGAUAGUAAGUGUCUUGAAAAGAAAAAGUAUUCAAGAACAGCAAAGAAUGAAAUAUUUACAAGAACCAACAAAUUAGGUACAAAUAAUAUGAAGACUAGGUGCUUUGGAUAUCACCGCUUGAACUUCUCCGUGCAAGCCAAAAACCCUUCUGAAUUUAAUAUGUGUUUGGGGGAUCUACAGUACUUUGUCGAUGCCCCAAGCCUCGUAUAUCCUUUUCUUGUUGACUUAAGUGAAGAGAGAUCACCAUAUGCCCCAAUCUGACAAUGUUUGAGCCGCCCUUUUUGGGUUUUCAACUCAAACCCCCCUUUGGUCCCAAGGCGCCCCUUUCGGGUUUUCACCUUGGCCUCUCCUUUUUUUAGGAGAUCAGAGCGCCCUUUGCGGGUUGUCACUUUGAUUCCUCUCUUCUUUUAAGUGAAAUAUUUCUUGACCGAAUUUGAAUUUACAGGAUUCGGAAGAUUUUUGCCAUCCAUUUCACUCAAAAUCAAAGCGCCUCCAGAAAAAGCCUUUUUCACAACAUAAGGUCCUUCCCAGUUUGACAUCCAUUUCCCUCUAAAAUCAUUUUGUAAAGGUAGGAUCUUUUUUAAAACCAAAUCCCCUUCAUGAAAUUCUCUGGGACGAACCUUCUUAUUAUAAGCUCGCAUCAUUCGCUUCUGGUACAUUUGACCAUGAUGAAUGGCUUUUAAUCUUUUCUCUUCAAUCAGGUUCAGUUGAUCAUACCGAGAUUGGAUCCAUUCGGCCUCAUCCAGUUUUAACUCAGCUAAUACCUGGAGAGAAGGAAUUUCAACCUCAAUGGGUAAAACUGCCUCAAUUCCAUAAACCAACAAAAAAGGUGUUGCCCCAGUAGAAGUCCUGACAGAUGUUUGGUAAGCCAAAAGAGCGAAUGGUAACUUCUCAUGCCAAUCCUUAUAAGUUUCAACCAUUUUCGCCACAAUCUUCUUAAUAUUUUUGUUGGCCGCCUCUACUGCACCAUUCAUUUUUGGACGAUAUGGUAACGAAUUAUGGUGUCUGAUAUUGAACUAUUCACAGACUUCUGCUAUUGUGCUGUUAUUCAAAUUCAGCGCAUUUUCAGAUAUGAUCCUUUCAGGCAUUCCAUAUUGACAUAUGAUCUCUUUCUUUAAAAACUUACUAACUGCUGACUUCGUGACAUUAGCAUAUGAGGCUGCCUCUACCCACUUAGUGAAGUAGUCAAUAAUCACAAAAAUGAAACGAUGUCUAUUAAAAGCCUUCGGUGAUAUUGGUCCAAUGACGUCCAUACCCCACAUGGAGAAAGGCCAUGGAGAAGUCAUAACAUGAAGAGGAGAAGGACGCGCGUGCAUUUUAUCCCCAUAAAUUUGGCAUUUAUGGCAUUUCUUGGCAUGAUUGAUGCAAUCUCUUUCCAUGGUGGACCAGUAAUACCCGAAUCUCAUAAUCUAUCUAGCCAUGGUAAAUCCAUUAGCGUGCGUUCUACAAACACCCUCAUGGACUUCUUCUAAAAUUUCCUUAGCCUCUACAGCAUCCACGCACCUCAACAAUACUCGAUCUUUUCCCCUUUUGUAUAGGAUCUCCCCAUCUAAGACAUAGUCAAUAGCUAGUCUCCUCAAUGUCCUCUUAUCAUUCUCCGUUGCCUGAUCCGAAUAUUCGCGAUUCUUUAUAUAUAGCAAUAUAUCUUGGUACCAGGGACGAUUAUCAUUCUCCACUUCUUUAAUGCUAUAAUAGUGGGCUGGGAUCUCAUAAAUACUAAUUUGAAUUGGCUUCAUGUCCUCUAACUGAUUCACUUUAAUCAUGGAAACUAAAGUAGCAAGAGCAUCAGCCAUCUGAUUUUCUUCCCGUGGGAGAUAACAAAAGGUAAUGUUAUCAAACUCUUCAAUUAAUUCCAGAACCAAUCUAUGAUAACGGAUCAACUUGGGAUCUCUCGUUUCCCAUUCCCCUUUUAAUUGAUAAAUUACCAAUGCUGAGUCUCCAUAUACUUCUAGUUUCUUAAUCUUUCGCUCUAUAGCUGCUCGAAUCCCCAUGAUGCAAGCUUCAUACUCGGUCAUAUUAUUAGUGCAGUCGAAGUCCAACUUACUGGUAAAAGGAUGAUAAUCUCCAUUCGGAGACACCAGGACUACCCCAAUCCCAUUGCCUAGUGCAUUCGAUGCUCCGUCAAAGUUUAAUCUCCAAGAAUGAUUUUCUUGGGGAUCCUCUUCAGCAUUUGCCACAUACAUCAAAUCUUCAUUCGGGAAAUCAAAGUCCAGGGGCUCAUAAUCUUCCAGAGCUCUGCUAGCCAAGAAAUCUGCUAUCGCACUCCCCUUGAUGGCCUUCUAACUUACAUAUACGAUAUCAAACUCAGAGAGUAAGAUUUGAUAUCUAGCCAUUCUUCCAUUCAAUGCUGUUGACUCCAUCAUAUACUUCAAAGGGUCUAAUUUUGAAAUUAGCCAAGUCGUAUGAUAGAGUAAGUAUUGCCUCAAACUCUUGGUCGCCCAAAUCAGGGCGCAACACAAUUUUUCGAUAGGCGAAUAUCUCAUCUCACAAUCAGUGAAUUUCUUGCUGAGAUAGUAAAUCGCCUUUUCCUUCUUUCUAGUCGCAUCAUGUUGACCCAGCAUGCAUCCCAUGGAGUUGUUGAACACCGUUAAAUACAAAGUAAAAGGUCUAUCUGGGCUGGGUGGUGACAGAACUGGAGUAUUGGAUAAGUAUUCCUUUAUUUUUUCAAAGGCUUUCUGGCAUUCUUCAUUCCAGACAUCAGGAUUAUGUUUCUUCAAAAGGCGAAAUAUGGGAUCACAUUUCUCAGUCAACUGUGAAAUGAACCGAGCAAUGUAAUUUAGUCUUCCUAAGAAAUAUCGAACUUCUUUCUGGGUACGUGGUGGCAAUAAAUCUCGUAUUGCAUUAACUUUGUCUGGAUCAAUCUCAAUUCCCUUUUCACAGACUACGAAGCCUAACAACUUUCCUGACCUGGCUCCAAAAGUGCAUUUUGUCCGAUUAAGCUUGAGCUGGAACCUCUUUAAUCUUACUAACAAUUUUCUCAGGACUUGUACAUGUUCAUCCUCUGUUCUGGAUUUGGCAAUCAUAUCAUCAACAUAUACUUCAAUUUCUUUGUGCAUCAUAUCAUGAAACAAGGCUACCAUGGCUCUCUGAUAUGUUGCUCCCGCAUUCUUUAAUCCAAAUGGCAUCACCUUAUAGCAAAAUGUUCCCCACAAAGUAAUGAACGUAGUCUUUCCCAUAUCUUCUGGAUGCAUCUUUAUCUGAUUAUAUCCUAAGAACCCAUCCAUAAAAGAAAACAGCGAAAAUCCUGUCUUAUUGUCCACUAGAGUAUCAAUAUGUGGCAAUGGGAAAUUAUCCUUUGGACUUGCUUUGUUCAAAUCCUUAUAAUCCACGCACAUUCGUACUUUUCCAUCCUUUUUAGGGACUGGAACGAUGUUGGCUACCCAUUCAGAAUAUUUGACCUCCUGCAAAAACCCAGCAUCAAACUGCUUCCUAACCUCCUCUUUUAUUUUGAGCACAAUACCAGGCCUCAUUCUUCUGAGCUUCUGUUGAAUUAGUUUGCAAUCCUCUUUUAUGGGUAGGCGAUGUACUACAUUGUCGGCACUCAAAUCGGGCAUAUCCUGGUAUGACCAUACGAAGACAUCUUAGAAUUUUUCGAGUAAUUCAAUAAGGUCUCGUCUUGUCUUUGUAGAAAUCUCAGUUCCAAUUUUCACCUCUUUUCCUUUUUCCAAGCUCACAAUUUCUACUGAUUCUUUGUGAGGUAGGAUUUGCUUUUCCUCUUGUUCUACCAUCCUCAACAAGUCCAAAGAUAAACCACUAUCUUCGUCACCUUCAAAGUCGUGCGAUCCCUCUAAACACACGUUUCGUUCAAAAGGGCACUCUUAGCUCGUAGCGGCGUCAUUCACAUCGUUGAUACACAAGGACCUAAUAUGGUUACAAAAGAAUGUAUGAAUUUAUGCACAAUUAUUUGUGCAAUGAAAGAAUAUAUUUACUUGUAUGGAAAGAAUAUUUACUUGAAACAAUUGCAAAAAUUGUAUUUUAUUAAAAUAAUGACGUUUAAACAGAAGCCUAUUUCACAAAAGAGUUCUUGUUAUUUCUAGGCUAAAACAAAAAGUUUGUUCUGAAUAUUACUCUGAGACAUUUCUAAAGACUUUAGGUAUUUCUUCCGCAGUCCAAUUAUCUGGAACAUUCCCGGGCUCAUAAGGACGAAUGUCCAGCCAGCUCCUCUCUUCAUUCACAUGCUUAUGAAUGGCAUUGAUGUGCGUAUUUCCCAACGUCUCCUCGAUGCUUUCCUCAACCGAUUUCUUUUUCUCAUGAUGAAUAACUCCUCCAGAUACAAAAGUUUUGGAUAUGUGGGGGAUUAUCAUUGGCUCCCACUUAGCUUCCUCCCCAUUUAAACGCGCCCUUCUCCUUUCCUGCCUUUUUUCUAUCUCCUUCCUUCUCUGUCCUCUAUCUGGUUUGUAUCCUAAGCCAAAGUGAUCCUGCUUUUCUUUUAGCAUUGGAACCUUAGUCCUCCCUUGAAGAUAUCUCCCUAGCCCUCUUUCGGGUAAAGCUCUUUUUCCCACCAACAAUUGUAAACCUAUCUCUGUAGUUUUGGAUAAUUUUGGCACCAAAAUUUUUCUCCCUUCAGGAACAAAUGCCGCAUUUACAAACUCCAAAUAUCGAAAUGAGUAUUCUAUUGACUUUUCAUUGGUCUCCACGUAUGACGUCUCAUUGGAUACAGCUGCUAUUAUAUCCUCUUCGGCUUUUAUUGUCACUAGCCGACCAUCUGACACUAACUUCAACAUCUGAUGUAACGAUGACGGUACUGCCCCCGCCGAAUGUAUCCAUGGUCUUCCUAAUAAACAAUUAUAGGAAGGUUUGAUGUCCAUUACAAUAAAAUCUACCUCAUAAACUGUUGGGCCAAAAAGUAGGGGUAUCUCAAUUCUUCCCAUGACCUUUCUUUUUGUACUGUCAAACGCCCUCACUACAUUUGGACAUGUUUUCAUGUGCGAACUGUCUAUGGGUAGCCUGUUAAGUGUGAAUAAUGGCAAUACGUUCAAAGCUGAUCCAUUGUCAAUCAGUACUCCUGGCAAAAUAUGCGUCUUGCAUCGUGCUGUGAUAUGCAAAGCUUUGGUAGAUCCCAUUCCCCCAGGAGGUAUUUCAUCAUCAUUGAAAAAUAUGAAAUUAUCAGCACUAAUAUUAUUGACCAACCGAUCUAGUUUGCUGACAGAAAUAUCCUUGGACACAUAAGUCUCAUUUAGCAUCUUCAUUAGUGCAUUUCGAUGUACAUCUGAAUUCAAAAGUAAGGCUAGUACAGAUAUGCGAGCUGGUUGUUUAUGCAACUGCUCGACGACAUUAUACUCACUAUGGUUUAGAAAUUUGAGGAAUUCCACAGCUUCUUCCUCCUUUACUGGCUUAACUAUUCUCCCUUUCUGUUUCCCUAUUAUGGCCCCUUUCAUAGGUUCUGGUUUGGCACUCACACACUGGUCAUUUGUAGUCUCUUUUCCAGGGAUAGUUGUAUUGCACUCAUAGCUCCAUGGAACCUUCCUACUGUCCUGGUAAGAAAACGUUGCAGGUUUCUUUAUUAUGAUUCUUGGCAUCACUGGCGUUCUUACUUCAUCCUUCUUUGGUCACGAGAUGAUGACCACAGGCUGCGCUACUCUUGGAACCUUCGAGGAUUCAGAUGUGCAAAUACUCCCUUCCUCCCUAACUUCCUCAUAAAAUUCCAUUUCUUUAUUAUCCAUCAGGCCUUGAACCAGGGAUCUGAAUUCAGUGCAUUCCUGGAUUUCAUGUCCCUCCUCGUGAUGGAACUCACAGUAAUUUUCCAUCCUUUCGAAGCUUUUCUCUAAAUUCGGAACCAUCAAUCCCCUUUUUACCAUAUUUCUCCAGACCCACCUCAAAGGAAUUUUCACUUCUGCUAUGUCUUCCUUGAUUUUUCUACCCAUGCUCCCACCUAUCAUGUUCACUCCGUUAUGAUUAGGAAUCGAAUUUUCUGUACUAGGCGAAUCAUCCAAUUUAACCACACCCAUGCUUAUAAGUCUUUCCACCAGCUUCUUGAACGCCGUACAAUGUUCUAUAGAAUGCCCCUCAAUUCCCGCGUGAUAGUCGCACUGUGCAUUUCAUCGUACCACUUGGGGUAUGGAGGCUGCAGAGGUUUCAAGUGGAAAGGGGAAACCACGUGUGCAUUGAAUAGAUUUUGAUAUAGCUCUCUAUACGUCAUUGGAACUGGCGUAAAUUGAAUAUUCUCUGUAUUUUGUCUUGAAUCAGAUCUCUGCUUUGAUGAUCCUUGCUGAUUAACAGCCAUUUUUCCCGGCCGAUUCACUGUAACCGUUCUCUUUCUUCUUCGAGGCCGCCCUUCUGCUACUUUCUCCAACAUCUAUUUUCCCGCUUCUGAUAGCAUUUUCUAUCAUCUCGCCAUUCAUAACUAUGUCGAAAAAACUUUUAGUAGCACUUCCUAACAUAUAUGUAAUAAAUGGUGCCUUCAAUGUGUUGACGAAAAGCAUCGUCAUCUCUCUUUCUAGAAGAGACGGCUGAACUUGUAUGGCAACCUCCCUCCAUCUCUGCGCGUAUUGCCUAAAGCUUUCACCUGGCUUCAUUUCCAUAUUCUGCAGAGUGAUCCUAUCAGGUACCAUGUCAGUCACAUGGCUGUACUGCUUUAUGAACUCUUGUGCCAAAUCUCUCCAUGAACUAAUCUGGGUACAGUUCAAUCGAUUGUACCACUUGGAUGCUGCCCCUGUGAAGCUAUCCUAGAAGCAAUGAAUCAAGAGUCGGUCAUUAUUGACAUAACCGGUCAUUCGUCUGCAGAACAUGGUAAUAUGAGCUUCGGGGCUACUGGUUCCAUUAUAUUUCUCAAACUUUGGCAUUUUGAAUUUGUAAGGGAGCACUAAAUCCGGAACCAGACUCAAUUCUUUACCAUCCAUCCCAUAGUAGCCUUCUGCACAUUCCAUCGCUCUAAAUUUCUCUUCCAGCCAUUUGUACUUUUCUUCUAGCUGUUUUGGCAACUCAUCAUUCAUUUUCUCCUUUUCAGCCGUCUCAUCGAAAUCAGGAAUAGCAGGACUAACAAAGUUGGCUCUGGGGUUAGAGCCUAAUCCUGUCUGGAGAUUCAUUAGCGUUGCAGCGUCACCCGGAGGAUUAAUGGUAACAAAGGACCUAAGCGGGUAUAUCUCAACUUGUCGAGGGAUAAAGUCCGGAGGAUAGACAGGUCCCUCAUUGUCUCCUUCUUCAAUAUUGAGCACAGAGCCUUUUCCUUUAUCAGUUCCUUUGUUGAACAAUUGAGUUAACUGAGCCAUCAUACUCCCUUGAGAUUCCAUCAUUUUAUCUAUCAUCUUUUGCUGCUCAUUCAUUUGGUUUUGAAGCUGCUCCUACAUUUCCUUUUGGGAUUGUUCUAGUCUUUCCAUCCUUUGAUCCAUAUCCUUAGUUUUCGAUCGAGUACUGUAGUGGUGUUUGGUAGGUUGGUUGGUUUCGAUUGAGUACUGCAUGAAAUGAAUGCAGAAAGGUGUCAAUUUUGAUUCAAUUCCAUAUAAUAAAACUUUACUAUAAAUUAAAUUCCUUUAUAUAAAGUGAAUUACAAAUAAGACUUUGCCCUAGUACCCAGAACUCUAAUCUUUCUAAGUAACAAAGCUAAUUCUUGCCCCCGAUCCGAUUCUAAUUCAUACUUCACACUCAGCGUGUCAGCCUGUACUGCUAAAGUCUGUAUAUGAUCAGCUACUUCUCGAAUCUGGACCACAGCUUUCUCGAUAAGAUGAUCUCUGCUUCUAACCUGACUUUGAAAGUGGUGAAGCUGUUCAUUAUUACGACUCUCGUUUGCUUUCAAGUGCUUGAUCUAGAUCUCAUAAUUUUGUAGGUUCGUUUCUAGCUCUUCGAUUCUUUUAUUCAUUUCUUCAAUCUUGCUCAAGCUAGCUUUCAACUCUUUUGCCAAAUUUCGAUUUCGAUAUUGACGAUGACAUCCUUCCAACACCACCACCCUAUCCUUUAGCUCGCCUUUUUCCCUUUGGCUUUCUAACAAACUCUUUUCUAAAGCUUCAUUUCGUCUCUGCAUCUCUUGACAUUUCUGUUCCCAUCUAUCGGCUUUUUCCUUUUCUUCUCGGAUUUCUGCUCGUCAUUGUUCUGAAGUCUUUCCCAGCCCAGCAGUUCUCAUUGACAAACGUAUUUUUUAUAAUCUGUCUUCAGACUACCUAGCUCUUCCUCAGCCUUGUUUUUCUCUUUCUUGAACUUCUCAUUUUCAAGCUUUUGAACGUCUAUAUCAAAUCUUAAGUUCAUCUUUUCUGCCUCCAUUUGCUCUAUCUUUUUCUCCAAAUACGUAUUUCUCCUCUCAAAAUCUUGCCUUAUGAUUUCCAUCUCAGAAAGAAUGACUCACAAAUGCUCUUCUAUUGACUGACUAUCUUCCUGAUUUAACUUAGGUGUAUUAUCAUUAAUCCUUCUAGCCCACCAUUCAUGAUACUCAGGAGUUGUCAUUGGACCCAUAGCUAGCCUCUUCAUUCGGCGAGUUUGUUUCCACGCACUAGCCAUCUCUUGAAUCUUCUUUCUAUAACCAUCAUCAUUAUAUGAAAAUUCACAAUCAGCUAUCCCUUGGGUCACAGGUAUAAAUUGCCAUGACCUAUAAUGCCUUAGCACCAAUAAUGGGGCAUAUCCAGCAGCUCUCGAACCCCUAGCAAAGGAACCCAAUCAAAACUACCACACCUAUACAAGAUCUCAUCUGGAAGUAACCAAGGAGCUCUUUGCUCAAUGUCCUCCUCUCAAAGAUUUUAAAGAAUUGCCAUCCACUUAUCCUUCAAAAUGUCAUCUCUCCUUGGCGUAGCGACUAUCUCCUUUAGCGGUGAAUAAUUUUCAGAGAAAACCCGAUACGAAACUUUAUCCACCUUCCAAAAGUGACUAUGAAACCAUGCGAGUAGAAGUUGAGCACAUCCAAUAAAUCUACCUUCGCCCAUGCACUCAAUGACCUGAAAGUUUCUGCCAAAAUUACUAGAAUCGGUGUAACCUUCUUAUCGAGCCGGUCGAAUAAAUCAGUGACUGUUUCAUCCACAUACCCCAAGGCUUUAGGGAAGACAACCAAACCGUAUAUACUUAAAGCAAAAGCAUCUAACCUUUUCCUUACAUCUGGGUGUGUGAGAAUUGCAUCUUUCAAGCUUCUCCAAGGGACGCACUUACUAUCCCCUUUUUGCUUAAUUCGUGCGACAACCCACUGCUCACUCAUUCCUGUUACACUCAUCAACUUCUUUGAAAAGGUUGGUACAUUUACCACUCUCGAGUAGACUCUGUCAACUUGAAACUUUGAACAUCAGAGUAAAGCCAUAUAUUCCUCUAUCGUAGGCACCAAAUCAACUUUCCCAAAUGUAAAGUAGCUGUAAGCAGGAUUCCAAAACUGGGCGAGGGCUUGAAACAAAUGCUUGUCUACCUUUACAUCAAGCAAAUAAGGCAGAUCCCCAUAAUUAUUAUAAAAUAACUGUCUAACCUCAUCACUCCACUGACACUAGAUUUCCUUCAAUUCUUGAAAAUUGUUUUGAGUUACACUGAUAUGCGUAAAGUCCCAUAACUCUGAUACAUGCCCGCCAGCCAAACUAUCACCUUUUUCUUGCUACGUUGUUUUAGACCAAAUUCAGACAGCCGUAUUAUCCUCCACUUUAUCAAGAAACCCUCUUUCCAUGAUAAGCCUUCUAUCUAGCAACUGAAUAUAGACUGGCGCCUUUUAUGAUGAAAUGAAAUGCCAUGUCAUGCAAUCAAAAUAAAACACAAAAAGUCAGUAUCACAUAAAAACAUAAGAUAUAAUCAAGAAAUAGUAAAAUUCCUAAUUGGAUAUCUACUAGGGUUUAGUAUAGUUCUACCUAGGGUGGAUUCCUAAGGUUCAUUAUAUGAAGUUCGGCUUCUAGGGUAAAGGUACCCGAACCAGCAGAUUCCUCAAUCCUCACCCAUUAUAGGUUCAUAUGGAUCUAGUUCAGUUCAGGGGAAUACAUUUCCCUAUGACUGCAUGGAGAUGCAAAUCUCACGAAGACGUAGGUACGGAUGUAUCCCGAAAGCGGUCCACUACACGGAGGUAAAAACCUCACGAAGGACUAGUUUCUCGCUCCCACUUAAAGGGUAAAAGUAUCCAGUAUAUGUAAUGUACAAUGCAAAAUAAUUUAAAGUACUUAAAUCAAUUAAGCAUGAAUGCAAGAGGAUUUUUAAAACGAAUUUUAUUUUUUCGACUAUAAGAUAAAAAUUAAUCAAUUUUGUGGCUCGACUCUCUUAUUUAUUUUUUUUAAAAAAGUCCCCAGUGGAGUCGCCAAGCUGUCGAAACCAUUUUUUGAAAAACAAAAAUUUUAGGUUGUCGACUUUUAAAAAAUGAAAAUUGGGAGUCGCCACCAAUCUUUUAUUGAGGUGUGAUUGGAUCACCUAAAAAAACGGCUUUGGUCUACGAGUUUUAGAAAAAUGAAUCCUGGAGUCGGUUACGUAUGAGGAAGGAUUAGCACCCUCGUAACGCCCAAAAUUGGUACCUAGUUAAUUAAUUAAUGUCUCAAUGUCGAAAAUUUGAAAAAUAUAAUCCUUAGCAAAAACUUAAAAAUGUUACGUAUUAAAACCAUUAUCAUUUCAAAGAAAGAAAAUGCCACACCCAAUGCGUUACGGCACAACUAUUUUUUCCUUAAAAAUGAAUUAGGUCAGAAUACUCGUGUAAUAAAAAUUUAAAAGGAAUAUCCAUUUAUUCAAGAUUUAAGAAAUCGCGGCCCAAUACGUUAGGGCACAAUUCCUCCAAAAUCCCAAACUCGAAAUAUUUCCUAUAUUAUUAUAUAGAAAAAAUCCCCAUUUCGAGAAAUCAAUGCGUCACAUCCAAUACGUUAGGACACAACGUGUUGAAUUCCCAAUAAUGAGUUCUUAUUUUUUGAUUAAAGAGAAAUGCUCGAUUGUAGAUUUAGCGAAGAAAAUCAGAACCCAAUACGUUAGGGCUCAAUUUCCUUGAAAAUCCUAAAUACUAGCAUUAUCUCAAUUUGGAAAUUUUUUUAUUAAAAUCGAGUAAAAAAUGAUGUAAUGUUAUAUUGAAUGCAUGUAUAAAUAUCGCAAUAACAAAUAACAAUAAUAAAUACAACAAUUGUAUAAAAAUAAGAUAAACAAAUAAAUAAAAAUAAAAAUAAAAAAAACCAAUGACAUGCAAAGUAUCAAAUAAAUGAGGAAAAUAAAAAAAUGAAAACAUAAAUCAACAAACAAAUAAAUAAACAAAAAAAUAUAAAGAAAAAAAAAGGUGCAUAAUAUAUACAUUGAAAUUAUGAAAGAAAACUAUAAAAUUUAUAUAAAAAAAUAUUUAUAUAUAUAAUACAUUUAUGAGAAUAAAGAAAAAUAUACAGAUAGAAAUUAUAAAAAUAUGGAUAGAAAGUAUAACAUAUAUAUACGUACAUAUAUAUAUAAGGUAAUAAAUAUAUAAAUCAUAAAAAUAAUAAUUACACAUAUAAACUUAAAAAAGAAAAAAAAGAAAAAUUUUUGAAAUUAAUUAAUUCUAAAAAAGGGACUAAUUUUAAACUGUGAUAAAAAAACUAGGGAAAAUUCGUAAAUAAAUAAAGUCUGGAGGACUAAAUUGAACACAUGAAUUACAUAGAGGGGCUGGAAGGGCAGUUUUCCCUUCUCCUCUGAAACGGCGCCGUUCAAAAGGGUUAAAUUGAAAUUCAAAAUAAAUUAAAGGACGAAAUUAAAAAAACAAAAGAACCUAAUUGAAAAUAUAUUAAAAGGCGGAGGGGCCAAAAGUGCAAUUUGCCCCUUCGCAUAAAAACACGCGGACCCUAAAGCGGAUCGGGUCGGAUUCAGGUCGAGUACUCAAAACGACGUCGUUUUGGGCGUCUGAGGGUUCCCCAAAACGAUACCGUUUUGGUACCCUAUAAAAGCCCCUAACCUAAAAAAAAAUUAUUUGAAAACUUAUUUAAAAAAAAACUUAAAAAAAACUCUCCCUCCCCCAGUCCGUCCGGCCAGGGGUCCGGCUUUUGGCCGAUCGUCAGGCCAGUCGUUGGCCACCGUGUCGGCCGCCGAUCUCCGGCGCCGGCACCGCCGUCUGCGGUGGCUGAAAAAGGGAAAAUCCCUUUUUAUCAUUUUUGCACCCCUCUAGGCCCAAAUCUCGGCUAAAAAUUUCCAAAAUCAGCGAAAAAACUAGAAAAACCCCACAAAUCUUUCGGCAUCUAGUCGUCUGUCAUCGGAGACGAUCCUUGGCCUUCCUUUCGGUGUUUCAGAAGCCAAAAGGUAUUUUUCUUCUCUUCUAUUAUUUUUGUUUAUUCGUACGUAAAAUAAAAAAUACAAAAAUAAAUAUAACAAUAAAGAAACAAAUAUCAACCUUUUUUUGAUCGAUUUAUUCUCUGUAUUGUGAAAGUACAAGUCCUUUUUCUAUUUGAUUUUUUUUCGAUCCCCAUUACAGUAUGUUUAAUGGCUUUUUAUAGCCAUUCUCAAAAUAUAUAAAGAAACUAAUCUGCUUAUAUUGAUUUGAUUUGCAAAUCUUCGAUCUUGUUUUCCAUAUACUAUUUAUUUCCUUUUUUGUGCGCAGAUGAAGAUUCGGGGGCUGAGAUUCGGAGGGCGAGGUUAGGUGGCUCCGGCGCAAGACUCAUCAUAGAAACCCUAGGGUUUUUGAUAUUGUGUUGGGCCAUUGUUUUGGGCCUCUGCUUAUUUUGGGUUUUGGGCUACAUAGGUCCGUUGUAAUUUGGGCCCUUUUAAGCCCGGGCGAAAUCUAUUAUUACAACAGGUAUUAGAACAAUUAAAGUUAAGAUGUUUGAUGGAGUUGUCAGAACACUUAGUGACGUACGACAUGUUCCAGAAUUGAAGAGAAAUUUAAUUUCGUUGAGUACUCUUGAUUCAAAAGGGUACAAAUACACAACUGAAAGUGGGGUUUUGAAGAUUUCCAAAGGUUCCCUCGUUGUGAUGAAAGGGUGGAGAAAGACUGCCAAGUUAUAUAUUUUGCAGGGUUCUACUUUUACUGGUGAUGCAGCUGUCGCAUCCUCUUCUUUGUCUGAUGAUGAUAUUACUAAACUUUGGCAUAUACGCCUAGGGCAUAUGAGUGAGAAUGACAUGGUAGAAUUAAGCAAAAGAGGACUUGUUGAUGGGUAAGGAAUUCUCAAACUGAAGUUCUGUGAGCACUAUGUUUUUGGGAAGCAAAAGAGAGUUCGGUUCACCAAAGAAUUUCAUAACACGAAGGGAACGUUAGAGUAUUUUCAUUUUGAUCUGUGGGGGCCAUCCAGAGUGCCUUCGAGAGGUGGAACUAAUUAUAUGCUAACUUUUAUUGAUGAUUUUUCCAGAAAAGUGUGGGCGUUCUUCCUAAAGUAGAAAAACAAUGUGUUUUCCGCUUUUAAGUCUUGGAGAACCAUGAUUGAAAAACAAAUGGGAAAGCAAAUAAAAUACCUCUGCAUAGACAAUGACUUAAAGUUCUGUUCUAACAAGUUUAAUAAAUUGUGCAAGUCAGAAGGGAUCGUAAGACACUUGGCAGUUCGUCAUACUCCACAGCAAAACGACAUUGCAGAACGAAUGAACAGAACGAUCAUGGAGAAGGUUCGAUGUCUGUUGUCAAAUGUCAACUUACCAAAGUCAUUUUGGGUUGAAGCAGCCUCUACUGCAUAUUGUUUAAUCAAUCGAUCUCCAUCUGUUGCAAUUGAGAAAAAGACUCCACAAGAGGUAUGGUCUGGUAAUCCUGCUGACUAUUCUGAUUUAACGAUCUUUGGUUGUCCUACGUAUGACCAUGUUGAUAAUGGAAAAUUUGAACCAGGAUCCAUUAAAUGUGUUUUUCUUGGUUAUAAUGUUGGUGUAAAAGGGUAUAAGUUAUGAUGUCCUGAAAAUAAAAAAGUUGUGAUUAGCAGAGAUGUUGUUUUUGAUGAAAUUGCUAUGCUACCUAACUUAUCUCUUAAAGAUUUUUCCAAUAAAGAAAAUCAAAAGCAAGUGGAGUAUCAGAUUAAUCUAGAAUCUACAACAGAGUCGACUACUGAAGCCAGUAUAAAAAUUCAAAAUAGAGCUGUUUCUUCACCACAAUACUUUAUCGCCAAAAACAGAACUAGAAGAGAAAUUAAACCUCCAAAGAAGUAUGUCGAGGCUGAUCUAGUUGCUUAUUCUUUAAAUGUGGCUAAAGAUAUAGAUGCAAGCCAAGAGCCAUCUAAUUAUUCUGAGGCGGUUAGCUGUGAAGACUCAGAAAAGUGGAUGUUUGCUAUGCAAGAGGAGAUGAAAUCACUACACAAAAAUAAAACAUGGGAUCUUGUGAAACUUCCUAAAGGUAAAAAGGUUGUUCGUUGUAAAUGGGUGUUUAAAAAGAAAGAGGGGACUCCAAGAGUUGAAGAACCUAGAUAUAAAGCAAGGCUUGUUGCAAAGGGUUACAGUUAAAUUCCAAGAGUGGACUUCACAGAUGUGUUCUUCCCAGUUGUGAAGUAUAGUUAGAUUCGAGCUUUUCUUGGUAUUGUGGCCAUACAUGAUUUGGAGCUUAAGCAGUUAAAUGUAAAAACUGCAUUUUUACAUGAAGAACUUGAGGAGGAUAUUUACAUGCAACAACUAGAUGGUUUUACAGUCUUAAAAAAGAGGACUAUGUUUCCUUGCUAAAAAAGUCCCUUUACGGUUUGAAACAGUCGCCAAGACAGUGGUACAAGAGGUUUGAUUAUUUUAUGAAUUCUGAUAAUUUUAAAAGAAGUAGCUUUGACAGUUGUGUUUACUUUAAGAAAAACAGUGAUGGUUCUUUUGUGUAUCUACUCAUUUAUGUUGAUGACAUGCUGAUAGCAGCGAAAGAUAAAGGAGAGAUAAGAAAAGUCAAAGCCAACUAAGUGAAGAAUUUGAGAAGAAAGAUUUGGGACCAACAAAGAAGAUACUUGGUAUGGAGAUUCUCAGAGAUAGAAAAGCAAGUAAAUUAUACCUAAGUCAGAAGGGGUACAUUGAGAAAGUUCUUUACAGAUUCAAUAUGCAGAAUGCUAGGCUUGUUAGUACUCCUUUAACAGCCCAUUUUAAACUUUCAUCGGCUUUGUCUCCACAAUCAGAUGAUGAGGUUGACUACAUGUCACAUGUUCCAUACUCUAGUGCAGUGGGAUCUCUCAUGUAUGUCAUGGUUUGUUCACGUCCAGAUUUAUCAUAUGCAGUCAGUGCAGUUAGCAGAUACAUAGCAAAUCCCGGUAAAGAACAUUCGAAAGCAGUUCAGUGGGUUUUAAGAUACUUACGAGGUACUACCAAUGUUUGGUUAUAGUUUGAAAGAACUAGAGAUGGGGUCAUUGGGUAUGUUGAUGCUGAUUUUGCUGGAGACUUCGAUAGAAGAAGAUCUCUCACAGGUUAUGUCUUUACAAUCGGAGGUUGUGCAAUCAGUUGGAAAGCCACUUUGCAAGCUACAGUCACUUUGUCUACCACUGAAGCUGAGUACAUGGCAAUUACUGAGGCUUGUAAAGAAGCUAUUUGGUUGAAGGGACUCUUUAGUGAACUCAAUGAAGACCUUCAAAUCAAUACAGUAUUUUGUAACAGUCAAAGUGCCAUCUUCUUUACAAAAGAUCAAAUGUUUCAUGAGAGAACAAAACACAUUGAUGUUCAGUAUCAUUUUGUUCGUGAUAUUAUUGCCAGUAGUGAUAUUGUUGUGAGAAAAAUUAGUACUCAUGAAAAUCCUACAAAUAUGAUGACUAAGUCACUUCUUAUAACCAAUUUUGAGCAUUGCUUAGACUUGGUUAGUGUUCAUUGUUGAAGUUAAACCCUUAAGGGGUUUUAUGGAAGAGGUGGAGAACUUGUUCCUUGAGAGUUCGCGAUGAAGAACUUGUUCAUUAAGAAUUCGUGUCAAGGUGGAGAUUGUUAGAAUUAAGUGACCCGAAUCCUUAUUUAAAUCAAAGAUAGUGGUAAAGUAAAAUAAAAGUAAAAUCCCUAUAGAAUUAUACUUCUUUUAUUUUAUUUUUAGAAUAAGAUUUUUUAAACCUUAUUAAACUCCAUCUAUUUGUUAUUAAUUAGAACCAGGUGUUUCAAUCUUACUACACUCCUAUUAGAAUAUGAUUUUAUAAGCUUAUAAAUAGACACAGUCUACUCCUUUUGUAAUCAUUCGAAUUUGACAUAAUGAAUUUUCUUCUCCUCUGCCCGUGGUUUUUUUCCCAAAAGGGUUUUUACGUAAAAUUUGUGUGUUCUUUAUUUUUAUUUCUUUUUUUUGUGAUAUAUUAUCAUUACUGACAUUUUAUUUUUACAUAACACCCCAUACCCUGGUUGCUAGGUCUGAGCUACGGGAUAUCAUAUCCAUUACCGGAGCAACUAUGAUAAAUUACAUACACAAUACAACCAUUUAUACAUGUAAAUAAAUUAUAUUACAUAUUCAUAAUAUGCUACAUAAUCAUUUCUGAGCCUUAGACGAGCUUACGGAAGCUCUUGUACUAACAUAAGGUUGAAUUAGAACCAAAUUAUAAAAAUUGCAAAAUAUUUGGAUAACAUCGCGAUUUCGAGGGGUUCCUCGUUGCGACGUAACUCACUGAUGAUUUCUCAUUGUGACAAUAAAGUUUUGACAUCAGGACGUGACCACUUGUUUUCAAAAGGUCCAAAUGGUACCUAAUCAAAACAUUCAUCCUAAUCAAUUCGUAUCCCAAAUCAACCAAUUCAACAUUCUAACCAUUUCCGUAUGCUAAAUUUCAUCUUGUCGCAUCAAUAACACCUAUACAUAACACAUCCAAUAUAUGACAUUUUCAUCAUGUCAUCCAUCCAACCAUUUCAAUUGGUAAUUCAUCAUAUGUCCCAUUCUAAUUCACUAUCAUUCAUAUAUACAUAAUUCAAGUAACAUAGCUAUUCAAACUUUCAAUUUUACCAUUUAUAACACACAAACUACUCGGUACAAGCCAUACUUUAAAAUGAAAAGAGACUAUACAAACAUUUCUUUGUCGAGGAAUGUUGGCUAGAUGCCGAAUCACGUUUCGGGACUUUGAGAUCCACCUAAUCCUACACACAGAAUAAACAAACCUUAUGCAAAGCAAUAAAUUUUAGUGGUACUUUCAUGAUUCAAGUCACAAAUAAGCAUAUUCACUAUAGGAAUUCAAUCAAUAUAUGCCAAAAUUCAACCAAAUCAAUUUUCAUAUACAACAUUCAAGUAUCAUUCUUUUACUCUGUUUCAAUUGAUGAUCAAACUGAACAUUUUUAAAUCAUGCAAUCUAAUGACAAGGAUGCAAUCAGUUUUAUUUCAAUUUCAUAUAUUUAUGUAUGCAUCAAUAUGACAUUGAAUACCAUUUUCAUCAAAUUUUAUUUAAUCAUUCCCUUUACAUUUAAAUUCUAUUUCUCGAGUCUACUGACUCGUUCAAAUUUGAUUCAGCCCCGAAGGCUUAUUUAAAUCAACUCACAUGGUAUUUCACAUACUAUCAUUUUUCAACAUAUCACAUUUAUAAAAGCAUACUAUUUCAAUCUUAUCCAUCUCAUUUACCAUAUAAUCAAUUUAUAUUUUUUAACUCCAUUAACCAGACAAAGACUUAGAACAACGAUGACUCUGAAACAUGCACAUACUACCACCCCAAGUUUCCUAGCAAUGAUGGUACUCAUAAUCUAAUUAUUUGUCAUCCCGAGUUGCCUGGCAAUGAUGACUAUAUUUGUACAUUCUACCACCCCGGGUUGCAUAGCAAAAGUGGUUUCUUGAUAGGGACUUUCUAGGUCUACAACCUAGGUGCAAGUUACAUUCAAGUAAUAAAAUCUCGGGAGUUCAAGGUCGAUCCACAAGAAAGUUGAUUAAAGCUUACAAGAUUACAAGUAAUAUUCUAGAAAAAAUAUUUAACACUUAACUUUGGAAUGAGUGUUGAAAAUGAAAGUAGGAGCAAGAAACACUAGAAAUAAAAAUAAAACUUAACGAAAGAAAUUAACUAAAAAUAAUAAAAACAAAUACCUAGAAGAAAAUAUGUUGAGGUUAUAGAAUCAACUCUUGGUGUCAUGUUAAGAUUAAAUUUUAGUACGAAAUCCAAUCUAGCCCAAAUUCCCUUUCCCAACUGCUAUUCGAAUCUUGAUCUCUGGAAUCGAAACCAAGACCAACGAGCCCUCGGUCAAGCGAAAGACUUACGACUUUGAAUUGAGGAUCACUAGAAUCCGAAGCUCUUUCAAGUCCUCUGGGCACAAAGGAACUAAACACUACACUAUUCUUUCUAUCUCUUUAGUUCGAAUCGAAUGCUUUGAUGCUCUUAACAGAGAGCACAGUUCAAGCAGAAUCCUAAUCAGACUAUUGCUCGUACCUAGUCACUGCUUAAAAUCUCGACACCGCGAGGUGUGAAGCGAUCUCGUACUAAACGAAACGACUUUCACUUUCCAUAAAAAAGUGAAAGAAAGUAAACCUAUUCCUGCAAUUGCGGUCAGUCUCGCUACCUUUUUAGUUGCCACCCCCUACUUGCUCAUUCGCAAUUACUACCACAAGAAAGUCACCCCUGGCUUAUGCACUUCAUGACUUUCUUAUGUUAUGGGGUCUUGAAGACUGAAUUUUGCUGCCAACCCAAGUAAGCAGGCUGAAAAAACCCUUUCUCCUUUUUUAUUUUAUAAUAAUAAGGUAAGUUUCAUAGCUCCAACCUAUACAAGGCCGCCGCUUACUAAGCGCUGGUUCUAUCCCGACCAAGCAACCAAAGCCAGGACCCUAGGUGGGAAUAGUGAAAGAAAGUGAAGGGGAAGAACCGGGGUAGAGUAAUGGUUAACUCGUCAGGCUCAUAAUCUGUAGAAUUGAGGUUCGAAUCCUGCCCCCGCCUAAUUACGUCAGAUACUUGAUAGAGUCCUGCUCAUGAAUCGGGGUUCUCAAUAGAGGAAAGCAAGACAAUAGAUGGAAAGAAGACCAUUGGAUGACAAUAACUGGAAUGGAACGAGCAAACGAAGGCUGUUGGCGGGGACUAUGGUUUGAGUGGGGUCUGGACGAAGAUCGGGUGAAUGAGAUAAUUCCCUGUUUCAUUUAAAAAACAUCGAGAUUAGCCUGAUUUGGGCAAAAAAGAUUUUUUUUGUGUUUUAAUAUUCGGUCUAUAUAUUUUAAAUAUCAAUUCAAUCAGUUUUUAUCACUUUAUCUAUUUCUCAAUUCGCAAAUCGUAAUUCUUACUGAUUUGUGAGUUAACCGAUUCUUUCUCUCACUCUAGAUCAAUAUGCAAAUUAGUUCUUGAUCUAACUAAUCAAUCUAAUCUGAUUUAAAAAAUCUUAGACAAAAUUUCGUAUUAUGUAUUUGACAUAAUAAAAUGGUACUUUUUAAUCCAUAGUUUAUUCAUUUAUUAUUUCUUGCUUUGACUACUUGUAUUAAUAUAACAAUCUUGAUGGAAAAUAAUAAAAUCUCUUCUUAUUUUGUAUAUAAUAUUUAAAACUAAAACCUUUAGAAAAAGAAAUUUUCUAUGUGGACUGGAUAGCCUAAUAUCGUGACAUGUAUAUAAUUUUAAAAAUUCAUAAUGUACCAUACAAUUUAAUUUGUUUUUUAAUUUGGUAAAAUUUAUAUUAUUUUACAUUUUUUAUUGAAUUGGAUUCUAUAAUUUAUAUUAAGACUAGCUACAAUAAAUAAGAGGUUUUUACAAAAACAAAAUAUAUAUAUUUUUACUCUAAAUAAUUUUACACGAUCAAUUUUAAGUCAUUUAUAUUCAAAAUUAUAUUAAGUUAGUACAAUUAUAUUAAUUAGAUGGAUACAAAUACCAAAUUCAUGGGACACAGUUAUAUUAAAAUUUCAAAUUACUCUAAUAAUAAUUUUGAAUACUCCAAUAAUAACACAUUGGCACUUUUGAAUCAGUAAAACCUUAAAAUUGGGCCUAAGAGUUUUAUAAGUUUUAGGGAUUUUGGCCUUAGAGUGUUCAGAAUUUUGCAACAUGUAUACCGGCAAUGUUUUUGACUAUUGUUUUUAGAAAAUUAAAUCAAUUUUUGAAAAUGAGUUUUAAAUACCUUUAAUUUUGAAAAAAGGACUGAUUUGAAAAAUAGUCAAAACUUAGAGUUUUUAAAAGGCAAUUGGACCAGAUUUUAAAAUCCAACCUAAAAUCCCCCAUUCAUAAUUUUAUUUUCACAUUAGUCUUCGUCUCCUCUCAUACUCAUGCCGUCCAUAGUUCUCCCAACUCUCCCCAUUGAUUAUAAAUUCCAAAUCUUAAUUCCUUUUGAUUUAUAUUAUCUCUUAUAAAUCUCCACAGGAGUUAAGAAAAAUACCUAAAAACACCAAAGUUUUCUCCAUUGUCAAGCUUGUGAGUUUUUUGAGUUUUCGAUCAAACUUUUGGUUUUCCGUCAACUAAGGUAACGAUUCAUCUUACCAUAAGUUUUAAAUGUUAUUUAGUCUUUAAAGCCAAAUUUUUAGCCAUUAAAACGCAUGUUUUUAAUAAAAGCCAAAAAUUAGCUCGUUAAUGGUGGAUUUCAAGAUUUUGAGUAAAAACAUGGUUUCAAAGUGCUUUUCAAUUCGUUUUGACAUGAUUAGAAGGUUUCUAAACUUACUUUGAAGUUUCAUUAAAGAUUUCUAACGUUUUAAUGAUUUUUUGUUAAAAUUGCCACAAACAUGUCAAAAAAGUCGAUACUAUGAACUAAGUAUUUUUAUGUAGUUUAAAGGCUGGGAAUUAGUCGUAGGUGAAUUAUAAGAUGAAUAGAUUUUAGGCAAAAAUAUUGAGUAUAGAUUGAGAUAUUUGAGUUUUAAGUUUGCUAUGUUAACGGUCUUGUUUACAUGAGAACCUAACUUAGGCUUGUGUUUUUGGAUUGUUUAAUGUGAGUCUUUGGUUGAAUGUUGAUUGUGUUGUUGUGUGAAUUACCUUGUUGGAGUGUUGGAAUCAAUAGGACCUUCAACGAGUAGAGAUAAAGGCAAGGAAAAGCUAGUUUGAGCUUUUGGCUUUUCAGCGAAAGCGUAUUGGUGAGUGGUUGGAAUAAUUGCUUGUGGACAUGAUUCAAUGCGUUAUUUGGGAAUUUAGUAGUAACCUAAACCCUUGCUCUAAAUUCCAAGUGUAAGCUUUCUCAUACCUACGUUAUCUUGUGAACUAUGUGAAUAUGUGAAUUGAGAUGAGAUGCUAUAAGAUGUGAUAUGUGGUUAUGAUGAUAACAGUUGUGAAAGUACAAAUGUGUUCAUGAUAUGUAUAUGUUAAAUGUUAGUGACAGUGUUUUGCUAAAGAUGCAAAUAUGCGGUGGUAGUGCACAGAUAAUCGAUAAGUGAUAUGUGUUUGAUUUCAGAUAUUUUGGCCUUGUGAUCUUAAAACCGUUGGAUAUAGUUGGCAUGUCAUAGGAUUGUGAGUACUCACCUAUAUGUACAGUGAUUUUGGGCGUUGAGACCCUAGGACAUGUUGGAGUGAUAAGGGAAUGUGAGCUAAGCUCCAUUCAAUGGGACAUGUGAGGGGAAAUAAGGAGAGUGUUAGUUUUAUGCUUCACUUUUGGGACAUGUUUGUGUAACGCUCCUAACCUCUUUCCGUCACUCGAGUUGGGACACAAAGUAUUAUGAUAACAAUUUAAACAUUUAACAUUACUAUCACAUAAAUAUUCAACCAUAAAUAAAAAUAAUCAAAUUACAAUCCAAUAAUAGCAAACAAACACUUAUGGACCUUAAACCGAGUUUAUGGGGCCCUAAAAAUAGUUUAAGAACAUUCUGGGGUCAAUUCGAAAUAAAAUAGAAAAAUUUUUAAAAAUGAAAAUUUGAAAAAAGGGGACACACUGCCAUCUGUCACAGUCUAGAUCGUGUGGACAUUCAAAGUACAGACACACAGCAAUGUCCCAGCCAGUGUGUCCACCCGUGUGGAUAUUUGAAUUAAGGUCAUACAGGCGUGUGAAACCUGCACCUAAGGACAAUAAGACACACGAUCAUGUGAGUGGAGCAUGUGUGUCACACGGCCAUGUGACAGCUUGUGUCCUAGGUUGUGUGUAGCAUAUCUAACCAUUGAUUCACGCCAUUUCAUACACCAUUCAUUGAGUAGCAAUUCAUACCACAUCUAUAUCCAUUCAUAUGUUCAAAAUCACAUUCAAAUCAUCAAUUACAUGCCAAAAAUUUAUACAUCCUAUACCUACCAAUAUGCUAUUCAAAGGCACCUCAAACAAAGAUUAAUCAUUCAAAUAAUCAACCUAAGAGAACAUAUGACAUCAACCACAUUUUCAUACUCAACCUCCAUCAAAAUAGCCAAAUAUAAUCACUUUCAUCAAGUUGUCAUUAUAACUAACAUUUAGCAAUUCACAUCAACAAUUAUAUACAUCCAAAACAGUCAAACUCAUCAAAACAUACUUAUUUCAUUCGCAAACUAUAUACAAGCAUUUUUUUAAGGCAAUCAUACUCCAGAAGUUUACAUGACAUUCAAUAAAAGUAGCCUUCACUAAGUUCAACUAUAGACCAAAAACCAUUACUCAAAACAUCAUCACCCUAGGUACAUGGCAAGACAUAAAAAGAAAUAUAUCACCAAUGUUGAGUUUGGGAUUGUCGUUGGAUGCCGAGUCGUUAGACAAAAGUAGGUACCUAACUUGCAUACAAUUGAAUGAUCAAAUAUUGAGUAAAUUCACUAAUCAAAGAACUAAAAUUACAAUUAAUGUCCUUAAUUUUAGAAUCUAUAACAUGUAAUAUACAUUUCCAUUUAGUUUACUAUCAAGUUCAACAUGAGCCUUUCAUACAUCUUCCAAGAUAUUUUUCAUAUACCAACCUUUUUCGAUAGAUCGAUUAUACAUUGCCAAUAUGGACCAAUCUAUGGAUGGCACCCGGUGCCUAUCGGUUAAACUGUAACCAAGUUUUACACCCAGCGCUAGUUGGAUAAACCGACGAUAUUAAAUGUGUGCCCAUCACUAGACAGAUUAAUCGACAAAGAUUUGUGCCCAACGCUAGUUGGAUAAACUGAUGAUAUUAAGUGUGUGCCCAGAACUAGUCGGAUUAACGACAAAGAUUUACGCCAAGUGCUAGUUGGAUAAACCGACAAUAUUAAAUGUUUGCCCAGCACUAGUCCGAUUAACCGACAAAGAUUUGUGCCCAGUGCUAGUCGGAUAAACCGACGAUACUAAAUAUGUGUCCAACACUCGUCGGAUUAACCGAAAAAUAUUUGCACCCAGCAUUGGUCAGAUAAACCAACGAUAUUAAAUGUGUUCCCAACACUAGUCGGAUUAACCGACAAAGAUUUAUGCCCAACGCUAGUCAAAUAAACUGACAAUAUUAAAUAUGUGUUAUGUCCUACACUUCGUACACAAGAUCAGAUAAUGUCAAUUCCAUCAUAUCAUAACUAAACUUCUUAAGUUUACCAAUAUUUCUCAUAAAUGUACAACUUAUAAAUGUACACAUAAAUCAUUUAUCCAUAAACAACCAUUUAAAACUAUUUUCUCAAUCAUUCAAUUACUCUUCACUUUCCAUUAUACUUCCAUGGUCUAUUUCAUAUAGAAUUAUCAUUUAUAUAUAUAAUUUCCACAGUUCCUCAUUUCAUAAUUCAACCAUUGCAUCAAUGAUUAUAAUUAAUCAUUUAAUCUAUUCCAUAACUAUACCUAUAACUCCAUAACUCUUCAUCUAACUUUUAGUCAAUUAUAUUUAUAUAGUUGUAAUUAAACAUAAAAAUAAUAAUCAAUGUAAUUUAAGUAAAUAAAUAAAGUUCGAGAUUAAGGACUACGAACUUACUUUGACAAUUACAAUUGUAAAAUCAAAGCCGAUGAUUAAUCCGAUCCUUUAACUUUUUCCUCGAUUUAGGUCUAUUCAGUCCAUUUCUUGAUCUAAAUAAUAAUAUUUUUCUUUCAAUUAAACCAUUCAAAUAACUUAAUAUAAUUAAUACAACCUAUAGCCCUUUUAAUGGUAAAUUUACAAAAUUACCCCUAACAUUUUACCUUUUAUGCAAUUUAAUCCCUAAAUCCAAUAUUUGUAAUUUAACCACCCUUAAUUGAAAUUCAUGAUAUCUGAAUUUCAUCUAAUCUCAUAACAGCCCAUAUCUUUCACCAACUCACACUAUUUCCAUUGAAUUUUACUAUUUAAACAAUUUAAUCCUUAACAUUCAAAAUCACUAAAAUCACUUAACAAAAUACUUAUAUCUAGAUGCUAACUUUAAUAAUUCAUCAACUAUUUUCACAAGCACAUCAAACUCAUUCAUGGCAAGUCCCUAUAUUUUUAACAAAUUUACAAAUUGGCCCCCAGGUUAGCUAGAUUAAGCUAAAACGAUUAUAAAAACAUAAAAAUUACUAAAAACAUGACAAAAUACCAUACCAUGCAUGGAAUUUAAGUUUGGUCGAAAGCUUCCAACCUCUCUAAUGGGGUUUCAUUUUGUUUUUGAGAAAAUAAGAAGAUGAUAGCAAUUUUGGCCUUUUGUUUGUUUUAAUUUCCAUUUAAUUUUUAAUAUACAAUUUUGCCCUUUUAAAAUUAAUCAAAUUUCAUGCAUUUAAUCAUCCAACCAUCCACUAUGAAGUCAUUUGGCACAUUUACCCUUUAAGUCCAUUAGUAUAAUAUUCCAUAACCAAUUGACCCCUUUAUUUAAUAGAAAUCUACUUCUGUAAGUUUUUCAAUUUAGUUCUUUUUACUUAAUUAACUAUUUAAACGUUAAAUUUACUUAACCAAAAUUUAAUACACCUAUAUAAUCAUUUCGUAAAUAUUUAAUAUUAAAUAUUUACGGGCUCGAUAUAUUGAAAUAAGGUUCAGAGACCUCAAUUUCUAAAACCACUUAACUUUAGGGGCAUACCACUUGAACCUAGCUAUUCGUUCAAUUAACAAAAAUCAUUAAAUAAAAAAUUAUUAUAAUACUAUAUUGGACUUUUAAAUAUUAAAUAAUAAUAUUUACAAACUUCUCAUCAGAUUUGUGGCCCCAAAACCACUGGGAAACGGGCUGUUACAGUUUGACUCUAUGAGUCUAUAUGGUGUGUUGGAGAUCUGUGUAUCCGAUGAGUGAUGAUAAAGUUCACUUUUAUGUUUCAUAACUCAAGUGCCAAAUUAUCUUAAAUUAUGAAUAUGUGUUUAUAUGACAUGCAACCAUUAUGCAACUGAUCUAUAAAGAUGUUUUUAAGUAUUGAGAUAUAUGCUUGAAUGUUAUGUGAUCAUUUGAGUAUUCAGAUAUAUGCUUGUAUGUUACGUGAUUACAUGUAUAAUAUGAUAUAUGCUAAAAGUGAAUAUGUUUACCAUGUAAUUGAACUAGUAAAUAAUGCACAAGCAAGUCUAUUAUGACAUUAAAGUUGGAACUGUUGAGGUUUUGUUAUAUGGUUGUUUCGUUAAUGUUUGAUGAAUUGUUUGCAUACUAUUUUUUCUAGGCAUCCAUAGAGCUUGUUAAGCUCACCCACUCCUUCUAAACCUUGCAAAUUAAUAGUGUGCCGGUGUGAGCGGUGUGGUUUCCAAGGGGUGAUCAAAGCUAGUCAAUUUCAGUGAUUUCAUAGGUGUUAUUGUUAUUUGUUUAUGUUUUUGGAAUAAGGCAAUGUGGUAGACUUUUAAUGAUAUUCUUCAAGGUGUUUUGGAAGUUCUAUAGCUUAAUUGCUCUUAGGGUUUUGAGAAUUGAAUCGUAUUAUACCGAUUAUCAUUUGAACUUACUUUCGAUAUUUGAUACUACUAUUACGAUCGUUUUGACGUUUAUUUGAUGAUGAUAUGAUAGCAUGAUGAAUUGGUACAUGUUGGAAUGACUUAUUAUCUCAUGUAUGUUGUAUUUUUCUAGUUUGAAGCAAAGGUAUUGAUAUUCGUGUUGUAAAAAUGAUACCCCUGUUACUUGAAAUGUAUAGGGAGUCGAAUCAUAAUUUGGUAUUGAUAUUCUAUCACGAGUAUCGAUACUCAAGAUAGAAAUAUCGAUACUUUGGCAGAGGUACCGAUAAAUUUUGAGGUUGGGGUUUUUAAGCCAAAAAUAGUAAGUAGUUUUGGUGCCGAUUUUUCAGACGGUAUUGAUAUCACUUGAGAGAAUUAUUGAUACCUUUGUUACAGUAUCGAUAACUAUGUGAUUGUCUUGGAAAUUUUGCUAAGUGGACCUAAUGCAUGUUUAAUUAUUAUUAUAAGUUUACUUAAAGUAUGUUUGGCAUGUUCUAAUGAUGAUUGAUAUAUGCUUGACUAAAAAACUAUAAGAUCACUAAUAAAGAGGAUGAUUUCUUAGUAAUGUGACAAUUUACUAUGAGUAUAACAAGAGACAGUGGUGUGACAUCCUGAUAUUCGGGCUUGGCAACUAGGUCGGGUAUAGAGUGUUACAAAAUCACUAAAUGAAUUUUAUCAGCAUAAUCAAAACUAUAAUUAAUAAAUCAUUGUUUUCACAAUUUUCUCUUAACUUCGAAGGCAAUGGUAAUUUCCAGACAAAAACAGAGGCAAUGGUCCUCGGGACGAUGUAAAUCGAGCUACUAAGAAGGUACGGUUUAAAGAGGACCACUGAAUUGUGGACACAAAAAUGAUGGUUGAACUGAGUUUGAUCCAAACAUUUCCUGGAAGGAUAAAUUGUUGGGGAACAGCUUCGGUAAUAAUAAGAAGGAGACGAUGGCUUCUGGUGGGGGAGGUGAUGACGAUGGCUUCUGGUGAGGGAAGUGAUGACGAUCUUGAGUUUUAGGAAGGAGAUAUCAAUAGAUUUCUUGUUAAUGGAACCUCGGCUAUUGAUUUUUCUAAUAUGAUCCAACGAAUUCUUUUCAAGGAAGUGGAGACUACGAUAAUACUAAAAUUGUUGGGAAGGAAUAUUGGAUAUAUGAAACUGAACAAUCGGAUUAGUAGUAUUUGGAGAUCUUCAAAGUCAUUCCAUCUUAUGGAUAUAGAGAACGUAUAUUUUUUGGCCAAGUUUCAAUGUUCUAAAGACUUCAAAAAAGUCUUAUCACAAGGGCCAUGGUUAAUAUACAAACAAUACCUAACUGUCCAACCCUAGACCAAAGAGUUUAACCCAUCAUAGCCCUACUCGAGUAUGGUAAAGGCAUAGAUUUGUUUGCCAAGACUCCCAAGAUUCUUGUACAAGGGGAAGAUUCCUGAAGAAAUAGGUGACAUUUUAAGGAAGGUUUCUAAAAUGGAUUUUGACACUGAUAGCCGAUCCAGGGGCCAAUUCACUCGAAUGGUCAUUUAUGUAAAGCUGGACAAGCCUCUAGUGUUACAAGUGUUGGUUAACGGUGUGCUCCAAAAAGUGGAAUAUGAGGCUUUACCUACAAUAUGCUUCUCUUACAGGAAGUAUGGCUACACUAAAGAGAUUUACGCAUCAAAGGAGCAGAGUUCAACGAAAAUGAAGGAGCGGAUGGAGUCUGCUUUGGAUAAGGCUGAGGACGGAGAAUAGGGCAUGAGGUAUGAGCCAUGGAUGGUGGUGGAGAAAAAUCGAGUAACUAAUUUUACUAGUAAGGAAGGAUCGGGCUCUAAAUUUGCAACGUUGUCUAGGCUACGAAAUUCAAAAGAAUUUGGGGACAAGAGGGUCAAGGAUAAAAUGAAGAACUGACAGGGAUUACGAAAAAACCUAAGGGGAAAUGGGGGAUUUGAGAUUUAGUGAAGGUUUGCAGGAAAUUUUUAAUUUAUUAAAUGGAGUGGAAUCGACUGAUGGAAAAAAGAAUAUGAUAAAUGGGUGAUUAAUUAGCCAACGAAUAGGGAGACAACCUGUUCUAACAAAAUGGGCCUUGAUGGAUCCGGACGAGCUUGAAGUCUCUUAUAAGGAGACCUAUUUUGGAUGUUGGGCCAAAUAGAUUAACUAAUGGGUUUGUUGGUUCUUUUGUGACACGUCCAGUAAUCAUUAAGGAUGCGUGAGCUAGAGGUCCAACAAUUUAACUGUUUCGAAAGCUGACGUUUCUUUGUCGGGUUCGAUUAUUUUUAAUGAAAAAUCCAAUUCUUUUAAUUCCAUUUCUAUAAUUGUUUCUUGUCUGAACCCCUAGAAUAAUGGAAAUGUGCAAGUGUACACAAUCGCAACAAGUAAUAAAGCGACAAGUAAAUGUCGAGUUAUCGUACCCACGGGAACUAUGUAAAGAAAUAUUUAUGAAAUAAAUAAUUUAACAAGUUGGUGGUGAAAAUUUGAUGAUUUGAAAGGGCUUUAAUUAAAAUUAAGAAUUAAACUAAGUAAAAUAAAAUAAAAAUAACAAUUUCCAGUGCACGAUUUCAAAACAAGUUUUAAUCAAUAUGACAUAAAUGUGAUAGAUCAAUUGCAUUCUUUAACUUAACAUUACCAAUACUAUGUUCAUGUUUCUUACGAAUUUAAUUUACGGCAACUCUGCAAUUUGCUAACUUAUGAACAUACUCACCUACCAAAAUCCAUUUAUCGCUUAACUAUAUCUCUAUGUUAAUUCAAUCGAUUAAACAAAUUUUAAUGAGAAAAUGUGUUAAUGCACAUACAUACUUAUGAAAUUAAAAUAAUUUCUUAUACAUAUCUCUAUGCUAAUUCAAACAAUUAAUUCAAUUUUCAUAAGCAAGUAAAAGAUUAAGUGAGGUAACAAUAUAUCUCUAUAUUGAAACAAUUUAAUCACAAAAUCCUGCAAGUUAUGGAAGGUUAAUGUAUUGUUUAAUAUUGUCGCUAAUUUAACCUUAAGCUACCUUAGAAGAUUAAACAUUCUCCAAUUAAAUAUUGUGUCCAUUAAUUACAAUUUCAAUCCGCUUAAUAAUUAAUUCAAUUGUUACCUUACAAUUUAAAUGCAAGCAUAACAAAAACAUGAUUUUAUUUAAUUGAACAAAUCAACAAGGCCUAUAAAAACACAAACAUGACUGUUAAUAAAUUAAGCAAUAGAACGCAAUCAAUCUAACACGAAUUAAAUUUAAGCCAUUUUAAUUAAAUCAAGAGUAACGAAAUGAUGAGCAUUCAUCAUAACGGAGUCAAGAAAAUAAAAGAGUAGGGAACUAGAAAAAAAUUCAGUGUCUCUCUGAAGUCACUAACACGCUCCUUUUCUUCUUUGCUCGUUCUGUUAAUUCGAGGCCUCUAUGAAUACUUGAGUGCUACUACUCCAAGGUGGAAGAAAUAUCUUUCUCAAGAGGACAAAUCGGCAAAGGAAGGGACAAGAAAGAAAAUGGAAAACAAAGGGAGAAAAUUGAGUAAAUAGAGAAUGUGUUGUGAAUGAAUUGAGUUGAGUUGAGUUGAGUUCUGAAAUGAGUAACAAAGGGAGGUAUUUAUAGGUUGGUUGGCUACUAAUUUUAGCAAAGAAAUAUCAGCCAUUAAAUCCCCCAUGGCUGGCCACCACUCAUGCAUUUGUUGAUGAUUUCAACUUGUUAUAUUUGGCUAGGGGCAAAUCUACAAAAGCAUAAUAAGUGGAGGAGUUUGAAUGCAAUUUCAAGGAGACUUCAAGGGCUGAUUUGCAAGUCAGUAAAUAAGCUGAUUUGAUCUGAUUGGGUCAGCAUUUUGGAUGGGUUUGGGCAACUCGAUUGCUCGUUUGGAUCAAUCUUUCGUAUUAGCACAACUGGGACUCAUUUCCAUAAUAUAUUCAAUAAUAAUUACUUAACCCAAAAUAAAUUGGAAUAAAAUUAAAAUUAAUUGUAUUAUGUACUUUUAUUCAUAAUUUGGAUCGUUUUAGGCUAAAAAAUUAAUUCGCCUCAACGCUUCAGAAAUCGCUUCACGAUUUGAGCUUCUAGUAGUGUCUGUUGAGCCAAUUUUCAUCCUUUGUGCUAAUCUGUCGAAAAUAAAUCAAAAUUUAUGUAAAUUUUAUUAUAAAAUUAAUUAAAAUUUGAUAUGUUAAUAAUUUAAGUACAAUUUAAUUAUAUUAUAUUUUUCAACAACAAUUACUACGAAACUGCAUGAAUUUUAGUUAAAAAUGGCAUAAAAAUGUCUAUAUAUUUUUGUGUUUCCACACCCCCAAACUUAAUUCAUUGCUUGUUCCGAGUAAUGCACAAAUUGAAAAGAAUAUCUUGGAAACACCUUUGAAAAAUUCCUUCAGAAAACAUUUUUCCCAUAAUAUGAAGUUAGUAUACUUAUGCUCAAGAACAAAAAAUUUUGAGAUUUAUGCCACUUAAGUAUACAUAUCAUUCAAAUUAAUCUAAAUUAUUAUUAUGAUAGAAAAAAUAGACUAUAUGCUUUCUCAAUAAAGACAUGUUAAAUCCCUACCAAUUUGAUUUUAUUCCCUUAUUUAAGAUUAAGUUGCAAUCAAUAAGUUUUAUUUAUGCCUUUAUAUGUUGAACAUAGCAAUUUCUCUCCGAUAAUGCAGGUAGCACAGAAACUUAAACCAAUAGGUCUUUUAAAUAGGUUGUAGCAUGGCUAGGCUAGGGGUAGGUAAAAGAUAGAUAAAUUUAGGCUAAAAACCCUAGGUUCAGCUUUCAUCGGACCUUCGGAAUAAUUACCUCCAAUACACCAACUCAUUUUGCUUUUACUAGCUCUUUUGUACAUCUAUUUCUUUCGAGUACAUAUGCUCUUUCUUUUUUAAGCAUUUGGUACUCAUUUUCAACUCCCCCAAACUUAUUUUCAAAGAAUAUUCUAAAUACAUUGAUUCUAGUGUUUGGGAUAAUUUAAAGAUAAUUAUGAGAGAAGAGAUGGCUAAAUAUUGCAAAUGUUCAAAUAAAAUUAGGCCAUAUAAUCUCAAAGUUGGGUUUCAAGGGAUAAAUAUUCAUCAUGGUUGGCUUGAAAGGCUCAAACAGUUCAAACAAAAGUUUGCCUAAAUCAUUUUCAACAUUUCAUGCUUCUUAGGAUUUCGUCUCAAGAAAUUACUAAGUCAAUUCUAGAGACUUAAACGUUCACGAAUGCCUAGCUUUCCUAAGGAACUAAAAUUUGAUGCUAUGAUUUACAUACUUUAUUAAGAGUACAUUUAUGUCAUAAUGUAGCUAACAUAACAAUUAUUGAGAUAAAAGAACUUUAUUCAUAUUGAAGUUUAAUAUACCUAACAAAAUUUCAAAAUUUUGAACAAAAUAUAACUAACCAUAAUUAAAAGAAAAUUUUAUUCUGAGAAGAAAUAAUUUCAAAUUUUCGGUCCCCGUACUUAAGAUGAACAAUGUCCCUAUUGUUAGAAGUGAAUAGACACUAUACACCAGGUAGGAUUCUAUAAAAGAGGAGGUGAGUCAAUUUGACUACUUAAGUACCAAACUCUCUUUAGAUUGAAUCCUAGACAUGUACAUAUAUAUUGCCACACUUCUUAUUUUGUAACUUAUUCAUUUUUAUUUAUGAUUUCCACCUCUUAUUUUAUUAUGUGAGAAAUAAAAAUCCUAAUAGAACCUAAUCCUAAAAACAUUAAAUAUCCUAGGAAAGAAAAUAAUAUAAAGUAAAGAUCCCCCAUUCUUUUUUAUUUGUAGAUCCAUCAGAAUUUGACUCAUCUUUUGCUCUAUCGUUUUUGUUUUUGCAUGAAUCGCUUCGUUCCCUCUUUGAUAUUAGGCUCCAUGGUUCAAAUAUAAAAUCUGGAAACUUGGGCACAAAAAUAAAUGAGUCAUGAAAUAUUUUCGUAAAAGCACUUCUCAUUGAGUCAUCCUAUGUUUUUUAAAAUCUCCAGUCAGCUUGUUGCUGCCACUGCAUAUGUUACAUUAUGUCCAUCAACUUUUACAGCUUAUCACAAGGAUCUGGGCUAGGCGAUUGAGCUCUGAAUGUUGAGGUCACCAUGUCAAGUUCGGUUAUUGGUUCAAUUGAUUCUUCCUUAUUAGGGAUUUCAGCUGACUGCAUUGGUUCGAUCUCUGUGGGAUGUUCUUUUUCUUCUUCGGGAUCCUCGCUCAAUUCAACUCGUUGCUGUAAAAUAGAAUCUCCGCCUAUUUGGCAGAGGUCCCAAUCUGUGAUUGUGCCUUGGCUAUAACUUGUCUUCUUUAUGUUUGUAAGAAUUUUAGCUCUCAAGCACAAAAUUGUUAUCGUAAAGGGAAAGUAUGCUGGGCCAGAACGUCUAGCGGCACAAUUUCAAUUUUCUCUUAGAAUGAUCUUUCCCACAUCAAUGGUCUUUGCCGUUAAAAUCGAGUAUAAAAAGACCAUUUGCUCAAAUGAAAUUGUGGUCUCAUGUGAAAUAGGCAUAAGGUUGAUUCGAAUGAAAUAGAACCAUACCUUCGCUAAUGGUGUUAAAUAUUCUCUACGACAAAUGUGAGAUCCAUGCUUUGACAUAGUCUACUUAGAACUCGGAACUGUAAGUUCCUCGAGAAUUUCUUACAGUUUUUUAGCCUCAAUAUUUCUCAUCAAAGAAGAAUAUUCGUCGUCUUCAAAAUAAGGUAAUUCAAAGAAUUCAUUAAUAGCGUUUGAGCUUAUUGGUACCUUGAUUCCUCAGGUAGAAACUUUCGUUAAUUCACUUGAGGUCAAAUUCACAUGAAAUCUUCAUCUAAGAUUCGCCGAGUCAAUUUUCACCCUUUGUACAAAUUUUUCGAAAAUUAAUCAAAAUUUAUGAAAAAUUUAUUAUAAAAUUAAUUAAAAUUCAAUAUGUUAAUCAUUUAAGCAAAAUUUAAUUAUUUUAUAAUUAUAUUAUAUCUUUUGACAAGAAUUACUACGAAACCACAUGAAUUUGAGUUAAAAAGGGCAUGAAAAAGUCUAUAAAAUUUUGUUUUUCUAACCCCAUAUUUGAAAGGACAAAAAAGAGGGUGGAAAAGUUGAAUGACGCGGUAUUAAAAUUAGGAAAUCAUUUAGCAGUCCAUUUUAAAAAAAAAUUAAUUUUCAAAUGGGGGAAGUUCAGGGCGUAAUGGAGUUCUUAUUUGGAAUGGUGGUAGGUCUUCUGGUUCUAAAUGACGUAUCCCAAGAGUCAAAGGUGGCUAAAUUCGUAAUGGAAGGAGGCUUAAUCAGACUAUUUAAUAUCGUGGGGAGCGUUUUAAAUUAGCAAAUGUUCCCAAGGCUCCCUUAGUUGACUAGAUGAAUUCGAUAGUGGAACUUAUUAGUCCUUAAUUGAACACUGAAGCAAGAAAAAUGGUUGCUAGCCCAGGGAGAAAGCCUUUUGAUAAGCUCAGGAUCUCAAAGUAGUAAAGGUUAGUUUACUCUUUCUAUCUUUAUUUAUCAAUUUUUUCUUCAAACUGUCAGGGUUGUGCAAGUGUUAAAUUUUUGCGGAUUUGUUGUGAGUAAGGAAUAUAAUUCAGAUAUUGUUAGUUUGCUUGAGAUAAGGACUACUGGUGGAAAGGAAGAUAAAAUUAUUGCUAAGCUAGGAUUCCAUAAUUCUCACUGAGUGGAGGCAAUCAAUUUUUUUGGUGGUAUUUGGGUCAGCUGGAAAGAGUCAGUUGAAGUUGACAUUUUAAGCAACCAUCUCAAUUUACCUUUUUAUAGGUUUCUGAAGGUAUAAACUCCCAACCUAUUCUCAUUGCGUUGGUUUACGAAAGUCCUGGUUGAUAGAAAAAGAAUAAUCUCUGGAAGGAUCUUAAAUCGGUAAUCUCGAUGAGCUCUAUUUUAUGGCUUGCAAUUGGUGACUUCAAUGUUAUCCUUUCUCCCAAUGAAAAGUCAGAUGAUCAUUCGGAAAGGAAGAGAUGUUCGCUUUUUUGUAAAUUUAUUGAGGAAGUUGAUUUGUAAGAUCUGAAGUUCAGAGGCCCCUCCUUUACCUGGCAUAGGGGGAGGCAUUUUUGAAAUGUUGGACAAAGUAAUAAAAAAUUCUGCUUGGGGAAAUGCUUUUCCCAAUUUUUCAACCACUCAUCUCUCUAAGUUGAAAUUUGACCACAAACCAUUAUUGCUCUUUCUUAGGCCAAAGAUCAAUAUGUCUAGGGGACAUCUAUUCAGAUUCUUGGCCAAUUGGGUGGAGCAUCCUAGUUUCUCUAAUUUCGUUAGAGAUAAUUGGAAUUUUAAUGGUAAGAUGGUCAAAAAUCUUUUUAAGUUCACCACGAACAUCAAAUAUUGGAAUAAGUUGGUGUAAGGAUACCUAGAUGUUCAUAAAAGACAGUUGACUCAAAAACUUGAAUUCAAAAAGCUCAAGAAAAGUCAUAUUUUGACUAUCUAGCCUAGUUAGAAUCUUAGGUUCAAGAGGAAAAUGAAAAUGUCAUUCAUCAUGAAUAAUUACUGUGGAAGCCAAAGGCUAGGAGAUCAUAAUAUUAAGUUUUUUUAUUCCUUCAUACUGCUUAGAAGGAAGAAUAACUGGAUCAAGAGUCUAAAGAAUGACAACGGAUAUUUUACAUAAGAUGAGGAAGAACUUUAAGAAGAAUCUACUAAGUUUUUUAAAAAAUUGUACGGUGAAAAUCCAGGCCAAAUGCUAGAAUUACCGGAUAAUUCCUUUCUGAAACUGAAUCAUAGUGAUACUCUCUUUUUGGGAAAGAAAUUCUCAAAGGAUGAGGUAAAGGAAGUUUUGUUUGAUAUAGCCCCUUUAAAAGCUCUCAGAAGUGAUGGUUUUCAUGCAAUAUUCUUUCUGAGCCAGUGGGACUUGGUUGGUGAUGUCAUUUGUGAUUAGAUUCAAAAGGUCUUUGCUAGGCACGCCAUUGAUCCCGAGUUAAAUAACUCAUUGAUAUUUCUUAUACCGGAAGUGCCUAAGUUGAAAGCUACGCCCAAUUUAGACUGUUAAGCUUAUGGCCAAUUUUUUUAGAAAUUGGUUAUGAAAGUCAUUUCUAAUGGGUUCAAUAUGGUUUUCCCUAAAAUCAUUGUGCCGAAGUAAACAGGUUUCAUUGCAGGCAGAAACAUUACUGAUAACAUUGUUGUGGCUCAAAAAGUUAUUCAUUCCAUGAGAAGCAAACAAAAAAAUAAUAGGUGGUUGGCUAUUAAGAUAGAUUUGAAAAAUGCCUAUGAUAGGGUAAGAUGGGAUUUUAUCAAUGCAUCUCUUCAAGCAACAGGUAUUCUUGAUUUCCUUUGAAACGUUAUCAUGUCUACCAUCAUGAGUUCCACUAUGCAGAUAAUGUGGAAUGGGGUGCCAACGCAAAAAAUUCGUCUUGCAAAAAGGGUUAAACAAGGAUGUCUUCUAUUGUCGUACCUAUUUAUCUUAUGUAAGGAAUGGCUUGGGCAUUGUAUUAAGUCAAAUAUUAACUCUGGGCAAUGGCAUCCUAUACGUUUUUCGCGAUCGAGUCCGACACUAUCACAUAUGUUUUUUAUAGAUGAUUUGGUCAUUUUUGGUUAAGCUGACAUGCAAUAGGUAAGUUUGAUUAAGAAAAUUUUAGAUAAUUUUUGUGCUUUUUCAGGGUAUCGGAUCAAUGCUUCCAAGAUUAAUAUGGUCUUCUCUAAUGGGGUUGAGAGAGAAUAUGGAAGGAAACUGUGCUAUAUUUUUGGAUUUCAUACGACGCAGAACCUUGGAAGAUAUCUCGGAGUCCCUCUAUUUCAUGAAAGGGUAACAAACAAUUCCCUGAGGUUUAUAGUGGACAAGGUUCGAAGCAAGCUUCAGAGUUGGGAUACAAGGAAAUUAUCUAUUAUGGAUGGAGUUACUCUAGCCCAAUCAGUUCUUUUAUCCAUUCUGAGUUUUUUCACGUUGUCCAUAAUGAUCCCUCAAGGGUUGUGCGAGGAGAUCGAAUGUUUGGUGCAGUAGUUUAUUUGGGGGUCGUUUAGGGGUAACAGGAAGACACCCUUGGUGAAAUGGUAGGAGAUUUGUAAACUGUCAACCAAAGGCUUGUGGUGGAUUGGGGUUUCGAUAACUGAAAGACCAAAAUAAUUCAUUUAUCCUGAAACUGGAUUUCAAUAUAGUUUUUAACACUGAUUAUUUAUGGGUUCGGGUCCUCAGAUCUAAGUAUGCUAUCAAAGGAGGUAUCCUAGAAGACAUAUUUCGUAGCAAGUCUUCCUUCCAUUGGAGGUCUCUUUCUAGAAUAUGGCCUUUGCUUCAGGAUAACUUAUUUUGGUCAGUUGGUAAUAGGGAAAGUAUUAGAUGCUAGAAGGACAAGUGGAUACCGAAAAUUAGUCCUCUGGUUAAUCACAUUCCAUCUCACGCUAAUAUGGACUUAGAUUGUCCCCUUAGUGAGUUGGUGACUGAAGAUAAUUUAGGGAAUAUGGAUUUGUUUCAAAUCUAGCUGUCAAAUGAUGUCAUUAGGCAUAUUGUAAGCAUUCCUCCUCUUCACCCUUUAGUCGGUCUGAAUAUUGUCAUUUGGGUUGGGAUUGCAUCAAAGACUUUCUCUAUUAAGAGUGUUUAGCGAAUGCUUAGAUAAGAGACAUUAAAUUUGAAUGAUAAUGCUUAGAAGGUGGUAUGCAAAUUCCCGGGACCACAAAGGGUUCGUAUGUUUCUUUGGCUUGCCUUUAAAGAGAGGCUACUCACACAGGUAGAAGGAAAAAUGCGAGGUAUAGGGGAUGAUGAGCAUUGCACGGUAUGCGAGAGUGCACCAAAAGAUGCCAUUCAUGCCAUAAUAGAUUGUUUCACUGCGAAAGGAGUGUGGUCUAAGCUCAUGCCAGUGAAAAAACAUGGUGUUUUCUUUUCAGGUAAUGUAACGCCCGAAUUUUGGGCCUAGAAGUAUUGGGCCUUGAGCUUGGAAGCGGAUAGGAGACUGCUCUUAGAUAUUUUAUUUGUGCAAGUCAGUAACACAAAUUGCAUGUUUGGUUGAGUGGCUAAGUGAUUUGAGUGUAUUUGGGAGUGCUUGAGAAGUCUGGGCUCAAGUUUGGCCUUUGGCAAAAUUUUACUUUUUGAGCUCUUAAGGGAACUUGGAUGUUAGCUUACAGGAUUUAUAAUUAUUUGUGGUUGUUUUAUGACACAAAGAGAGGGGAUGGUCUAGUGGCAAGGUGGCAUGUUGUUUUUGGUAAGGGCUGGAGUUCGAGUCUUACUGUAUGCAAAUGGGAUUAUAUAUUUUGCUCAUGAGGAGGCAAGAGUUGGUGUUGGAUUUGAAUCUAUUGUUGGAGCGUUUGAAUUGGUCUUGUAAGUUGGUUGUGGAGGAUAUCAAGGAGGGAUAAGGGGAGAAAAUCAAGGAGAGGGGUGGAGAUUUUCAAGGAGUUUGAAGGCUUGAGUAGUUGUGCCGAAAUAGGUUUCUUGCUCUUGGAAAUUCGACUAGGGGCUUUUGUUAGAUAUAUCCGAAGUGCCGGAGUGGUUUUCUUGGCUGGCUCUUUUGUGUGUUGUCGUUUGGUUUGUCCUUUUCAGCUUUAGUUUUGUUUCUUUUCUCUAAAAGAAACCGAAUACUAUUUCUUCUCUGCUUGAAACUUCCUACUCAUCUCUUCUUUAAUCAUUUUCUGCUAUAGCCGACCCUCUCUUUUACUUUCAUCUCUACUUCUUUUCCAAUUCUGUUUUUCCUUUCUCUAUUGGACCGAAUUCUCAUACCUUCUACAUCUCAAAUCUUUUUGUUUUUCUUGUUUCGGGUCGAAUCUUCCUGACUGACUAUUGCCGAAAUACGUUUGUUUUAUUGGUAAGGGGGUGUUACAACCACUUUAUUAUUUCGUUCUUAGUCAAAUUUCUUUUGGCUCUAUUAUCGGUUUUCCCUUUUCUUUCUCUUAGGUGCCGAAUGUAUGGUUGUUUUCUAACAACUUUUGAUCUGGCGAAUCAUGUUAGGAGGGGGGAUUCGCCCUUAAUCAGCAGUGAGACGCUAGUAUCUGUUAGAUCUAGCAAGGUGGGUGUUUGUGGUUUAGUAAAUAAAGUUUAUGGAUUAAGAGUAUGUGUUAAUCUUGUGUUGCGUUGGUUAUAGGUUUAUUGCUCCAUAUUAUUCGCAGUCUUCAUUGUUGUAAUAAGGUGUGUAUUUGUAUGCGGUAUUCGAUGAUCAGCUGAAAAACCUAAAGUAUGUGUUGUUACACUACUAUGACUGUAGAUCGGCAAAAUGCCAAAAAGUCAGAAAUAUGGCUAUAAUGUCACACGAGCGUGCGAUCGUGCGUGUGGUGAACUGAGCCCACAAACAUGGGUGUUAGUCUGUAGAGGUCAGCACAAGUGCUCUCGUGGUCUUGGGCUGUUCUGGGCCUCAUUGGGCCAAAAUGGGCUGUGUGGGCCCAGUGGGCUUGUGGGCCACACAGAUAAAAUGUAUGUGAUGUGGUAAGUGUUGUUAGACUGUGACGUUUGCAUAGUUGGGGCCGUUAUGGGCCUCGAUGGGUCGAAAUAGGCCGCGUGAACCCGAUGGGCUUGUGGGCCACACGGGUAAAAUCCUCGAUAAGUGAUCAUUGAUAGGUUGGUUUUUGAGGCUCGCGAUGCCGUAUGCGAAUCUGGACUAAAUGGGUCAUACGAGCGUGUAGGCCCACUUGGGACCAAUAGCGAGUUUUAGGCCCAUGUACACUGUUCUGGCCUUGUAGGUUAUCUAAGUCAUUCGAAGGGACGAUAGACCUUUUAGGAGGUCGUAAUAAGUACCGAGACCCCAAUAUUUGUAAAAUGACCAUAAUACCCCUAUAGGGUAAAUGACCAAAAAACUCGCAUAGGGUAAAAUGACCGUAAUGCCCAUGUAAGGUAAAAAUGACAGUAAUGCCCCUAUAGGGUAAAAUGACCAAAAAGCCCCCAUAAGGUAAAAUGACCGUAAUACCCUCGUAGGGUAAAAUGACCGUAAUGCCCCUGUAAGGUAAAAUAACCGUAAUACCCCUGUAGGGUAAAAUGACCGAAAAACCCUCAUAGGGUAAAAUGAUCGUAAUGCCCUUGUAGGGUAAAAUGAUUAAAGUACCACUGUAAAGUAAAAUGACCAUAAUGCCCCUAGAGGGUAAAUGACUAUUUUGCCCCUCGAGUGUAAAUAAUUUAUUUUUCCGUGAUGUAAAUGACUGAUUUCUUUGUGAUUUAAAUGACUGAUUUGUCUGUGAUUAGUAUGACUGAUUUGUCUAUGAUUUGUAUGACUGAUUCUGAGUAUGGCAUUUUGCAUACACGACAUACUGCAUGGGGUUGGGAUACUACCACAAUCACUGUUACUGGUGGCUUGGCCACAUAUACUAUUACGGGCAACUUUGUUGCGCUACUGUUGCUGGCAGCUUUGUUACAAUGCUACUGAUGGCUUUGUGCCGAUCAUAUUACCAUUACUGAUGGCUGUGUGCCGAUCAUAUCACUAUUGUUGAUGGCUUUGUGCCAAUCAUAUUACUGUACUUAUGGCUUGUAGUCAUUCUGUUUAUAGCUUAUAGUUAUCCUGUUUACGGCUCUUAGCCAUUCUGGUUACUGGCAGCUUUGCUGCGUUACUGAUUAGUGUCGCAACCGGUGUUGAGAUUGGUGUGUUGGCUGGGUGGGUCGAUUUUAUCCCUACAUAGUGUGUUGGUUGGUACGAGUGGUGUGUUGGUUGGAUUGGGAUGGGUUGCAUAAUUGCAUUGUUGCAUUUCUAUUACUGAUUCUGUCACUGUCUUGGGCUUAGACCCACAUGUAUUCUGUUUUUAAUUUUGAUACUGUAAUGGGCUAAGGCCCACACUGCACUUUUACUAUUUUGGGCUAAAGCCAUAUUGUUCUGUUACUAAAAAGGGCUCAGGCCCAGAUUGUUACUGCUUAUAUUACUGACUGAAUGAUAGGGGAUUACACACUGAGUUUUUGUAAACUCACCCCAUUUUUAACCUUUCAGGUAAUCCCCAGCGUUAGACAGUUCGGAGCUGUGAGGGACUCGAAGAGGGCCACACAACUGCACAAGUUUUAUUCUGUUUUGCUCAUUUACUAAAGUACUUUGAUUUUGAUUCGGGUUGUAAUAAGGCCUCAAAAAUUUUGGAUUUUAAAUUUGGGAUUUUAUUGAUUAUGAUUCUUAUCUGCUAGAAGGAGAACCCAAUUUUCCAAAAUAAUAACUAUUUUCAAAUACUACGUUUCUGCAACUCAAUUUUUAAAUAACACGUUUUCACAAGUCAUUUGUUUUAAAUUAAUCUUCCGCAACAAUAAGGUUUUGAAGGUAACAACGUUUCUUUAAUAAACCUCGAUUGAAAAUAAGCAAACACAAACUGAGGUUUUGUACAAGUUUUAAAUGGCAAGAAGUUUGAAAUUUCAAGAAGGGUUUAUAAUGAAAACAUGGUUUUCGAAAAACACUUCAAUGUGACACGACAGAUUUGGGCCUAACUUCUAGGCCGGGUUUGGGGUGUUACAAGUAAUCUUCAAGAGUGGUUGGUAUCCUACUUGGGAAAUCGUUACAACUUCUUCUUAAAGGGAGUGGAAUGACAGUGUUUCUUUGGGCUAUUAGUGUGGCGCAGUUGGAAGAACUAUAAUCUUUUUAUUUUUCGAGGCGAUCAAUGAAGUGUUGAUGAAAUAAUUAAAUGAUCGUAUAGCUGGGCCUUAUAAUGUUACUCUUCUCUCAAGGUAUCCCAUCUCAGGAGACAAAGUAUCAAUAUGUUUGUCAAUGAAGAAAGGUCUUGGAUCUGUCUAAAUUCUAAUGGUGUUGUGAAUUUAGAUUUCGAGUUGGUUGUUUUUGGAGGAGUAUUGAAGGAUCGUCAUGGGGGUUGGAUUCUUGGUUUCAACAGGAGUUUGGGUCACUAUUCGGUUUUCAACGCUGAAUUAUGGGGGGUUCUUGAUGGAUUAAGGAUUUUACAGAGUCAAAAUUAUAAUGCAGGCUAUUCAGUAAUCAAUCUUAAAAAUAUCUUCUUUUGUGCUUAUCAGGCGUAUUCAGCUGCACUUGUUGAAUAUCAGUCAAUAAAGCUUGAACAUAUACCUUGUGAAGAAAACUUUGAAGCAGAUCACAUCACUAAGAUGGUUUUUAACAGAAACAAGGGAUUCAUUUAGUCAAGGAUAUCCCUUUAGAUUGGAUUAAAUUAAUGUAAUCUUCCCGUUUAUUUUUUUCACCAAAAAAAUCUAAUAAAUCUAUAAAUAUAUUAAUUAUGUCUUUCAAUAAAAAACAUUAUUCAAAAUUUUGAUCUACAAUUUGUUUUUUUUUUACUACCUACAUCAAAUAUUCAUAUUUGAAAUAUUAUAUGUUAUCUUUGAUUUAUUAUAAUUAAAUAUAUGUUUUUCACUGCUUAGAAUAUCAUUGUGUUUUUUUUUUCUCUUUUUCGCUUUGAUAAAUAUGGUAAUUCCUUAGAAUGAACAUGAUUUUUUGCACCAUUUUUAUGUGUAUCAAAUUUUCUUGAGUGUGAUUUAAUUAAAUCAUUUUAUAUCUUUUCUUUUUGAAAAUCUAUUUAAACGAUGCACCUUUAUAUAUAUAUAUUUAUAUAUAGUAUGUGUAAAUCAUUAGAAAAGUAUGGAUUGUAUAAAAAGAAGAGGUCUGGUUUAAGCCCUCAGAAUAAAGUUUUGAAUGCUUCGUUUAACUUCAACCAAUGAUUUUACUAUUUUUUCCACCAUUUGUGUGCCUUUCUGGUUGGAAUCUUAGUGGAAAUACGACUGUUUUAAUGAAAUUUCAACCAACUCAGCAAAAAAAAAAAUGGAGAAAUAGGAAAUCAAAGAAAAUUGAAUCAAGGAAAUCUCAAAUGAACUUUUUAAUCUCAGAAAAACUGUUUUACAAAGCUAAGCUUAAGCCUAUUUAUGGUAACUAAUAGACUAAGCUAUAACAAUAAUAACGGGCCACAACAAACAACCACUAGCCCAACUACUUAACCGAAAAAGCUACCUACCACAUAACAGCCUUUGACUCACUUCUGAUCUCAUGCACAAAAUAGAGUCACAACAUUCUCCCCACUCAAGUGAAAGAAACAUAGAGGUUUUUUUACUAUAAAUUAGAUUAUAAUUUUGCCCCAUCUAUUAAAAAGAAAAAACAAGUGCCUCUAUCUUAUAUCAAAAAGUAAAUUGAUCUCUUUUUUUAUAAAAAUUUCAUCCAUUUAUAUAAUUAAAAAAUAGCGUGAUUGAUAAAAAAACCAGACAAUAACACGUGGUAUGCUACAUCCAUCUCAUACUAAUGUAUAAGAAAUGUUUUCAACAGUAAAAAUAGACGAAAUUUGUAACAAAAGAACAAGUUCGCUUUUUGAUCUAACAUACAUAGAUUAAUUUGUUCACUUUUUUAAAUAGAAGGAGAAAUGCAAUCCCACAUGUAGUAUAAGGGCCUCUAUGAUACUUUUAGACACUACUUGUGUCGCCUAAGGUGAGCUCCCUUUCAAUAAGUUAGAAGUCAAUACCAAAAUUUUAAAAAUUUCUAAGAGCAUAUCUUUAUAUACUUUAGUAUUCCAAAAUUUCUAAGUAAUACCAAAAUUUGUAAGAAAAAUUAUUAGGAAUUUUGGUAUACCAAAAUUAGGUUACCCAAUAAUAGUCUAAAAUGUCAAAAAAAAAAUUCCAAUAUUUCUAAAGAGCAUAUCAUUAGGUAUUUUGGAAUGUAGACAAAAUUCAAAGGAAGUAUCAAUAAUUUUAUGGAUAGUUUUUAAAUAUUGGGUAUUUAUAAUAAAAAAUUUCGUAUAUAUAAAACAUAUUUUAUAAAAUAAAUCAUGUUGCCUAAGUGCUAGAGGUGCUCAUGGGCCGGGCUGGGCCGGGCCCAGAAAAAAUUUCAGCCCGUAUCAUAGCCCGGGCCCGGCCUGGCCCGAAAUAUGGGCUUGAGAUUUUGUUCAGGCCCUGCCCGGGAAAAAAUCCUAAGCUCGAGCUUGGCCCGGCUAGGCCUAUUUUUUAAUAAAACACUAAAAAUUUAUUUUAAAAAUAAAAAAAUUUUAAAAAAAUUAAAAAAUUAAAAAAAUAUAUAUUUAUUAUAUUCGGGCAGGGCCGAGCCGAGCCCGGGGUCAAAAAAGUGGUGCCCGAAGCCCGGCCCGUUUUCUAAACGGGCCUCAUUUUUUUACCCAAGCCCAUAUUUCGGGCCUAUAUUUUUACCCAAACCCUCCCAUAUUUCAGGCGAACCGUUGGGUCGGGCGGCCCAUGAGCACCUCUACUAAGUGCUCACCAAGAUUUCUGACAAAAUAUUAAAAUAACUAAAAUAAGAGUCUACCAAAUUUUUAAAGAAAUACUAAAAUUUCUAAACUUUUUUUAUUGAAAUAAUAUGAAAAACAAUUAAUUACCUAAAUAAUAUAGAAUGAAAAUUAUUUACUAAAAUAAUAUAUUUACAUAGAGUUAUACCUGAUAAGUUUAUGACUAAGUUCCCCAAGUCAUCGUCUAGAUAUGAGAGUCUCAAUCUCGCGAGAGCAUGCUCCCUUUGCUUUGCCGAUACACCCUCUCUUGGCUAUGGUUAUUAGGUAGAGGUCUUAUGCUUCUCUCUCUAUAUCUCAAGCCUAGAAAGUAUUUGAAGAACUAAGGCAAAGAUUUGAAGAACAAAGGCUAAGUUUUUAUAACUUUGAAUGAAAUUACAAAGCAAUAAAUAAGUUUCUCUCUCUUUCUAACUACCUAAUGAGAGACAUCUGAGUUUCUUAUAUAGAGACUUGGGUGCUUCAUUAAGCCUAUCGACAGUCUGGAUAUAAGUCACGAGAGUCUUCUUUCACAAUAACCAAUAAAGAUGGGUAGGCGCAUGCUUCCUAAAGGCGCUUUUCCCAAAAAUAAAAAAUUAAAACAAAUUCAGAUAAGAUGCUUUUAGCUGAGCAUCUACAACUUUUAUCUCGUGACUCUCUUCACAGUUUUAUAGAGGUCACGUAUUAUUUUAGGGCUCCGUCUCGGUAUUCUUCAUCUUGGGCUUCUAAAGUUUUUGGGAUUUCUGGAAUUUUUCUAUUAUGUUAGCCCGACAUGCUAGAUUGAACCACCAUUGAUCCCACCCUUCAGAGGGCCUUUCAUCAAAUUGAUUUAGCCCACUUAUGUUGGUGGAUAAGUCUUGUUGGAUUUUUGAGAGUUUUUCUAUUAUUUUGUCUUCCUUCGUUAUAGGUUGCUCGGCGGUGGCCUCAGCGUAUGAGAUCAUGUCUUCUUUAUGAUUGGCCUCCUUUUGGAGAUCUUCCAUUCUUUUUAUAAGUUAUAUAUUCCUUACUCGCUCGGUCUUAAGUUGUUUUUCUAGGAGGAGUUUAUGUUCUUUGUGUUUUAUGAUUUGAUCUUAAACUGCUGCCUUUUCUACUGAAGUUUUUAUUUCUAGUUGAGGAUUUUUAUAUAUUUUUGCCCAUUGUGUUGAGUUUCUCUGAAACAUUAUAUUUGUGUCCAAGGUAUAUCUGGGCAUCUUUAUAUGCAGCUGACAAAAAGCUGUAUUUUUUUUAUAUUUUGGGUUUUUCUGAGAUUUUGUAUACUGGAUAAUUUCAGUCCAUUCUUUGUAUAUUCCUUUAUUGUCUCUUGUGAAUAAGACAUAUCAUUUCUCAUUAUUAUGGAUGUUAUGAAAAUAUAGAGAGAGCCUGUUAAGACAGGCUAUUUGGUGUUUAAUAUCUCCCUUUUUAUGAGUUAUGAAUAUAUUAUCGAUUAGUAUUCUUUCUGCGGGUGUUAUGAUCGUAUUCUGUGCCAUGUUGAAUUCUUGACCAGAGCCUUUAUAAUAUGCAAUUCUUGACUAGAGGAUUAACUAGAUUCAUAAUCUAUUAUGACUAGUUAGAUUAUGUCAUCUAUUAAAAGAAGAUAUUUUCUUUUCUAGUUUCAUUUUGUUAUAGUAUUUUACUAUUGUAAUACAAUCAGUUCUUACGGUAAAUUCAUUUUUUCCUAGUAUAAAGAGUUCGAAUGAUUCUAGUGCAUAUCUUAUGGCUAAUAAUUCGGCAUCUAUGCCAGCUAUGUUCUCCUUCUCUUGAUAAGACCCUGAUGAUUAUCUACAUAUUUUUUCCUCCCCUUUAUUAGAUAGCUUAUGUGGCUUUUUAAGUAACAUUGUUCCCCAUCCGAAGGCAGAACCAUCAAUUUCUAUCAUUAAAUAUUCCGAACAUAAGGGUAAUUCUAAUUUAGGUAAGUUUUUAACUAAGUCUUUUACUUUUUUUACUUGUUUUAUGUCGUCAUUAUCGAAUUGCCUUUUUUCCAGUUUUCCUAGUCUUUUGGUAUAUAGGUCCUCGAUAUUUACUUAAGUCUUUUAUAAAUGGCCUUGCCUAAUUUAAUAACCCUCUGAAUUGUUGUAUUUGCUUUAAUUCUCUCUUUUUUUUUUGGAAAUUCUAUUAUUUUUGUAGCUAUGUGGAGUUGUAAUUCUAUUUGACCCUUUCCCAAUAUUACUCCUACUUUCUUUUCCUAACUCAAUUUUCUUUUUGCUUAUUAUUAUACCUCCUUGUUCUAGUAUUUUAAAAUUUUCUUUUAAAUGCCUUUUUAUGUUCUUGUUUUGUCUUACUAAAAACUAAUAUAUCGUCUAUAUACUAAAGUAUAUUCUUGGCAUCUUUCAAAUAUUUUUGAGCCCAAAGGGCAUUACUAUCCAUUCCUAGUGACCUAUUGGGUUUGGGCAUAUGAUUGCAGUCCAAUUUAUAGAUUUUUUAUUCAUUUUUAUUUGGUGGUAUCCGGACUUACAAUCAAAUUUUGGAAAUCAUUUAGCUCCCUGUAUUUUAUUUAGUAAUUGAUCUUUACUAGGAAUAUUAUAGCGAUUAUUGUUGACACUAUUUUUUUGAUGAAACGGGAUCAACUUGGGUUUUGAAAACGAAAACGAAAACGGGAGUCGCCACCAAUCCUUUUUUGAUAAGGUGUGAUCGGAUCACCUUGAAAAGUGGUUGCUUUUAAUAAACGAUUCAAUUUUAUUAAAACAAUAAUUUUGGUCUACAAAAUUCAGAAAAACAGGUUCGGGAGUCGGUUACGUACGAGGAAGGCUUAGCACCCUCGUAACGCCCAAAAUUGGUACCUAAUUGAUUAAUUAGUGUCUUAGUGUCGAAAAUUGAAAAUUUUAAAGAUAUUAAAGUUUAAAAAUGAUAAAAAUAUACAUAUAGAUAAAAGCAAAUAUGAUAAUUUAUAUAUAUAUUUAAAAAUAUAUUAAAAAUAUGUAUGUAUAUGUCUACACAAAUUAGAAAGUACAAAAAUAUAUAAGAACGUACAUAUAUAAAUAUAUACACUUAUAAAAAUUAAAAAAAAUAUGUAUAUAGAUAUAAAUAUAUGUAUACAGUUAUAAAAUAUAUAAAAUAUAAAGGUAGGUAUAAAUAUGUGUAUUUAUAAAAAUUAAAAAUGUAUAUUGAUAUAUACAUUAAAAAUAUGUGUAUGAAUUAUUAAAUAUAGAAAAUACAUAAAAAAAGAAAUAGAUUUUAAAAUAUAAAGAAUAUGUAUAAAUAUGUGUAUAUAUAUUUAUGAAAAUAAAAGAGAAUACAUGUAAGUAAGUAUAUAUAUAUAUAUAAUAUAAGCGUAUAUAUGCAUAUCAAUAUUAGAUAUGUAUAUAUGUGUGUAUAUGUAUAGAAGCAAUUAUAUAAUAAUAAUAUAAUAAGAAACAUGUAUAUAAAAUUUACAUAGUAAGUAUAAACAAAAAUAUGAUGAUGAUGAUGAUGAUGAUGAUAAUAAUAAUAAUAAUAUAAUAAUAAUAAUAAUAAUAAUAAUAAUAAUCAUCAUCAUCAAUAACAUAACAAGAAUAAAAAAAAGACUAAUUUGAAUUUUAAAACCGAGAUUGGGGCACAAUCAGAAAUAAAACAAAAAGAGGGACCAUUCUGAAAACGCGCAUAACAUGGAAGGGCCGAAGGAGAAAUUUCCCCACCCUCAAAACGUAACGCUUUAAUGCGAACUUGAUUAAAACUGAAAUAAAAUGGGAGAUAAAAUUUAAAAGGAAAUAAAAUAUAAAAGACGGACCUGAUCAAAACACGCUUAAAAUGCGGAAGGACCGCGCGCGGAAAUGUCCCAAAAGUCCAAAACGCGCGGAUCCUCACGGUCGAGUCGGGUCAUGCUUGGGUGCCCUAUACGACGUCGUUUUGAGGCCACUGGAGCAGGCCUCAAACGAUGCCGUUUUGCGUCUGUUAUAAAAGUAAACAUUUUUUUAAAGAAAAUCAUUCUUCCAUUCUGUUUUAGCAAAAACAGAAAAAACUCUCAUUCUCCCAACUCUCCUUUACUCUCCAGACGCCGGCCUAGCUCCGGCCAAGGGUACCGGUGGGGUUCCGGCGCCGUCGCCAUCGUCGUGACCCCUUUUCAAUCAUUAUAACCCCGGGUAACCCCGAUCUACCCUAAAAACUGGCUAAAAACCGUCAAGGAUCAAUGGAAGACCGAAAAACUCUUCGGUUUCCUCCCCUUCGGCCACCAACAAGGUAAGACCUCCUUCUCUUUUCUUUUAUUAUUUAAUAUGUAAUCUUAUAUAUAUGUGCUAAAUAAAACAACAAAGAAAAUAAAUAAAUAAAUAAAUCAAGAGACAGAAUGAAGAAGAAGAAGAAGAAAGAAGAACAGCCUUUCUUUAAAUUUUCAAUUUUUUAUUAAUUCAUCCACAUUUUUUUUAAAAAUCCUCCCUUUGAUUACAUUUCAUUAGGCUCUUAUAGCCGUUUACAUAUUUGUUUUCUGUUGUUGUUUGUUUCUACUAUCUUCGCCUUUUUCUUGCUUCUGUUUUUCUCUUUUUUUGCAGGCAAGAUGAAGUCAACGAGAGGAGUCUUUUCCAUUUCGGUGCAAGGCGCAACUGGCGGUUGCAGACCUUGGGCGUUGUGCGCGCCGAAGGUGCACAUGGGCAGUAGCGACAUGAGGAAAAGCAGGGAACCCUAGGGUUCCCUGAUGUUGUUUAAUUUUUGGGCCUAAUUAGGCCGGCUAGGGUUUUAAAAAUUGGGCUUCGGGAUUGGGUUAAAAUUUUGUAAAUGGACUCUUUUUGUUUAUUUUUUGGUUUAUUUGGUUUGGAGGCCUGGGAAAAAUUGGGCUACUACAGCUGCCCCUCUUUGCUCGUUGUCGUGUAAUGAAAACAGAGUAAAGACCAAGAAAGGUCAAUUUUGCCCGGUCUCGCCGAAGACUUCUUGGUGCCUUUCUUCUUUAGAUAGCCUUCUCGUAAUCCGCUGUGUCUUGUUGCUUCGAUCCGCUCUACUGCACUUCAAAGAGAUAUGACUUGUAGCUUCAAUCCACUCUGCUACGACUUUAGGGGGUGAGGUUUGUGGUUUUAGUCUGCUCCACUGCAACGUCAAGGAGAUAAGACUUAUAUUUUUAACCUGCUCCACUGCAACUUCAGGGAGAUAAGGUUGGAUGCGAUCUGCUCUACUGCCACUGCAGAGAGAUAAGAUCUGUGUUUUUAAUCCGCUCCAUUGCAACUUCAGAGAGAUAGGAUUAGUUUCUUCUGUCUGCUCCACUACUACUUAGGGAGAUAAGGCUGGUGCUUUCGAUCUACUCCACUACUGCUUAGGGAGAUAAGAUCUAUAAUCUUCGACCUACUCCGCUGCUGCUCAGGGAGAUAAGGUUGGUGCUUUCAAUCUGCUCCACUACUGCUUAGGGAGAUAAGAUCUACAAUCUUCGACCUACUCCGCUGCUGCUCAGGGAGAUAAGGCUGGUGCUUUCGAUCUGCUCCACUACUGCUUAGGGAGAUAAGAUCUGCAAUCUUCAACCUAUUCCGCUGCUGCUCAGGAGUAUGGACUGGUGGCUUAAAUUUGCUUCCUACUACUUUAGAAAGAUAAGAUUCGCCGUCUUCGGUCUGCUCCACUACUGCUUAGAGAGAUAAGAUCUACCAUCUUCGAUCCGCUCCGCUACUGCUUAGGGAGAUAAGAUCUACAAUCUUCAACCUACUCCACUACUGCUUAGGGAGAUAAGGUUGGUGGCUUAGAUUUGCUGUCUUCGAUUUGCUCCGCUACUGCUUAGGGAGAUAAGAUCUGCAAUCUUCGACCUACUCCACUGCUGCUCAGAGAGAUAGGAUUCAUGGUUUUGAUAUGCUCUGCUACUGCUUAGGGAGAUAAGAUCUACCAUCUUCGAUCUGCUCCGCUACUGCUUAGGGAGAUAAGAUCUACAAUCUUCAACCUACUCUACUACUGCUUAGGGAGAUAAGGCUGGUGGCUUCGAUUUGCUGUCUUCGAUCUGUUCCGCUACUGCUUAGGAAGAUAAGAUCUGCAAUCUUCAACAUAUUCCACUUCUGCUUCAGGAGUAUAGGUAACUUCAUUGAUCUGUUCUCUGGGGAACAUCGCCUGUAAAAUCUAUUUCGUAGACCUAUUUAUGCCUAGUGUUUAAAAUAUUAUGAUCGGAAUGAAUCAAAAUUUCCUAACUAGAUGUAUAUGAAUGAUAUUUGCAUGAAUGCAGAAUGUCAUGAGAACGAUUCGUUUUCAAUGUUUGGGUUAUCAUCCCUUGUUGUUCAUCAAUGUUUUAUUGCCAACAAGUUAGAAUGCUAUCCUACUCGGCUGGUAACACUCAUCUCUUACUUAGCCAGAUUGCCCCCCACUGUAAUCUUCAAAGUUCAAUCUGCUGUACUCUUCAAGGUUCAAUCCACUGUACUCUUCAAGGUUUAGUCCACUGUAAUAAAAUUUGAACUAUCUUCCUCCCACUGGGUAUAAGAUCUGACUCUUUCUUAACCUCUCCCACUGCAAUUCGGGGAUAUAGGAUCUGAAUCUCUUUGGUCUCCUCCACCAUUCCAAGGGUGUCGUACCAAAUGUUUAUGCACAAUUGUAGUACUUUCUCUUCUGGGAAACCUCUUUUUAUCACUCGGUGAUCAUUGCUCGUUUGUUCAUUGAAGCUUUGUCAUCAACAAGACAUUUUGUUGUUUUGUUCAAUCCAUGCUUGGACAACAAACUCUGAAAGGAUAGUCUUAAUUUAGACUUUUCUAUCUUAGACAUUUCAACCUUUAAACUUGGUGUGCUCUAAACAAUAGUCAUGUUUCAGGUUCCUGUAUUAUUUAGAAACUUUUAGAGUAAUAUGCAAAACUCCUUUUGCUUGAAUAUUAACAGCCCAUUAAUCUUUAUUUCAAUGAAAAUGCUUGAAAAAUAUUAUCACAAUAGAUAAGAUGAAAUUUUAUUGAGAGCACAGCUCGAAAUGAAUAAAUUAAUCAAGAUAGAAAAUUUUGCUAAGAUACAAAAAUGAAUAAGAUGAAAACAGGUGCCCCAGAUAUCGCAGCAUGAGCUUCUCCGCACAAACUUCUUGAGGACCCGUUUGAACUUGAUAUGUGUUUAGAAGUCCUAGAAGACUUUGUUGAUGCCCUAAGAUGUAGCAUCUCCCCUUCUUGCUAAUUCAGAAAGGACAAGACUACCGCAUGCCCCACCUUUGAUAAAAAAUUUGAAUUGCCCUUUCCUGGGUUUUCAAUUCAAAACCCUUUUGGUUUUAAGGCGCCCUUUGUGGGUUUUCACCUUGGCUUCUCCUUUUUAUUUUUCUUCUUUUCUUUUCUUCUUUUCUUCUUUUCUUUUUUCUUUUCUUCUUUAUUGUUUGUUUUUUUAACAUUUUUUUAUUGAAUUCGCACUCGUAGGAUCAGGUAAGUUCUUGCUAUCCUUUAUGGUCAAAAUCAACGCUUCUCCAAAUAAAGCCUUCCACAUAGGUCCUUUUCAGUUUGAUAUCCUCUUUCUUCUAAAGUCUUUUUUUUUGUAUGGGGAGGAUUUUCUUUGAUAUUAAGUCCCCUUCAUGGAACUCUCUAGGGAGAACCUUCUUUGGUGAGCUCACGUCUUUUGUUUUUGGUGCAUUUGACCAAGACAGAUAACUUUGAACAUUUCUCUUCAAUCGGGAUCUAACCCAACACUCGGAGAGAAGGAAUCUUGACCUUAAUAAACAAAACUACGAUAAGCCAAUGUGUUGCCCCGACAGCAGUUUUUCUUUAUUUUUUCUUUCUUUUUUUUCUUUGCUCCAAUUGUACCGUGCAUUUUGGGGCAAAAUGUGUUAACCUUGAACAGACUGCAAACUUCUGAUAUCUUGCCCUUGUUCACUUUUAGUGCAUUGCCAGAUAUACUCCUUUUUGGCAUUUCAUACUGACAUGAUUUUUCAAGAAUUCGCAGACUGUUGACUUUGUGACAUUGGUAUAUGAAGCAGCUUCUGCCUACUUAGUGAGGUAAUUGAUGACCAUAAAGAUAAUCGUCAAAAACCUUAGGUGAGAUCGGCCCUAUGACAUUGUGCCCCACAUAGAGAAAUGUCAUGGCUUCCAUUGAUUCUGUAAGGUAGAAUCUUGUUCUCCUGUCUUUAACAAAUCAGGAGAUAAGCUAUAGUCUCAGUUGUCUCCAAAGUCUUGAAGUUUAAUCUGGACACAUAUCUGGCUCAAAAGGAGGUUCUGAGUCAAUAGCAGUGCCAGUCAUAUCAUUGAUAUCUGAAGACCUGUUAUAGGGACAAAAGUAGAUCCAAAUAAUAAAAGAAUCUAAGAAUAUUUAUUUGUAUAGUAUGAUUAUGAAUGAAUUGGAAGCAAUAAAAGAAUAUUUGCUCGAAGUGAGAAAUAAAGAUGCAUUUUAUUGAAAUAAAAAUGUUGGACAUAAGCCUAUCUCACAAAAAGAUUCUUAUUGCCCCUAGGCUUAGAGUAAUAAGCGUGUUUUGGACAUUACUCCGAAUCAGCUCUAAAAAAAAUACAAGGAUCUCUUCCACAGUCCCAUUACUCAAAACACCCCCAAGUAUGUAAGGGUAAAUAUCUAACAAGGUCUUUUUUUCAAUUGUGUCCUCACACAUGGCAUUGAUGUGAACGUCUCUCAACACUUUUUCGUACGUCGCAUUCACCCCCUCAUCAAUAUAAUUGGGUAGUAAAUUUCCUGUUCUGGAGGACUCAUUGAAUUUAACAAUGCCCAUAUUGAGAAUCUCUCCGCUAUCUUCUUGAAUGUGGUGCAGUUUUCUAUUGAGUGCCCCGUGAUUCCACAUAUGCGUCAAAUAGGCUUUGAUAUAACUCUUUUCAUGACAUUGGUAUAGGUGAACUGAGGCAUUUCCACAUCUGUCUUCGUAUAAGACUCUCGUUUUAAAGGGUGCUGAUGGCUAGUCAUUUUUGUCUUUGACUGGCCCACAAUGAUUGCUUUUGAGUAGCCCCUGUUAUACUUACCCGCAUUAUCCCCAUUAUUCCUCUUAUUCUUUGAGGCCUUUAUAGUAUUUGCGUAUUCUACCCUCGCUUGUUUUGGAUCAUCAGAGGUAAAAGGCUUAGCUAGAUUGCUCCUCAGAUUGGAUCCUGAGCCUGUUGAGAAAAUCAUCGGUGUCAAGGUACUGGUCUAGUAUUGUGUUCGUAUGUUAACUGUUUCCCUUUGUGGAUAUCAAUUUGGGGUGCAGCCUGGAGGAUAUGCAGGGUCCUCAUUAUCAUCCCAAAGUAGACCGUUGGGUUUUUCCUUUUUUCUAACCAUUUAUCCAAUAACUGAGUUAACUGACCCAUCAGAUUUCUUUGGACUUCUAGCAUCUGAUCCUUCAUAUCUUUUUGAAAUUUAGUCAAUUACUCUUGCAUCUGUAUUUGGCUUUGCUCUAAUCUCUCCAAAUUUUGGUCCAUUCUUUUAGUUUUUCUCAGAUACCGUAAGGGUGUUAGUUUUUCAGAUUAGCUGAAAUAAUUUUACUCAAUUAAGGUCUUUUAAUGAUCCUUAAUGUAUGUGAUGUCAUGUAAUGCAAAUGCAUGAAAUGAAUGCAAAAAGGACAUUGACUCUAAUUCAAUUCCUUUUAGAAAACUUUACUAAAAAAUAAAUUUCUUUACAUAAAGCGGGUGUAUGUACGGCCUCGCCCUCAUAUUCCAAGAAACAACAUCGAUCUUCUUCUUUAUUUGAAUGUUUAAAAUAAAUCUUGCAAAUUUCCAAUGGAUGCCACUACUAACUCCUUCUUGCUUGAUCCUAGUUGCCACCCAUCGUUUGCCCAUCAUCGUAAUGCUCAUCAGCUUCUUUAAGGAAGCCGGAACGUCGGUGACUCUCAAAUAAUUAGCUUGAAUCUUUGGGCCACGAAGUAAAAUCGUGUACUCUUCCAUCACUUUUCUUUUGUUGUGUUUCUUGGAAUGUGUUCGGGCAACCAUAUUAUCUUCCACUUUAUCAAGAAAUCCAUUUUCCAUGACAAGCUUUCUAAUUUAGUAAUCAAACUUGAAUCAACAUCUUUUUCUAAGAUGAAAAUGCAAUGCAAUCAUAACCAAAACAAAACGAAACAGGUUAGUACAAAGCAAAAGCAAAUAAGAAAAAUAGAGUACCUAUUCGGGUAACCACUUAGGGGUUUGAAGUGGUUCUACCUAGGGUUGGACUCCUAAGAUCCUCUACAUGUGGUUUGGUUCUAAAGUAAGGGUACCCGAACCAACAGAUUCCUCGAUCCUCACCCAUUAUAGGCUCAUACGGACCGAGUUCAGUUCAGGGGAAUACAUUUCCCUAUGGCUGCACGGAGAUGAAAAUCUUACGAAGACAUAGGUACGGAUGUAUCCCGAAAGUGAUCCACUAUCCUGCACGGAGGUGAAAACCUCACGAAGGACUAGUUUCUCACUCCCACUUAAAAGGGUGUAACCAAGCAGUUAUGUAAUGCAAUAUGUAGAAACAUAUCGAAAAUUCAAAACAAUAGAGUAAUUACAAAUCGAAGUAAUGAAUAUCGUAGCAAAACCGAUGGAAUGCAACAAAAUAAUCAUAAAUUUAAACCAAGUUUUCGGGUAACCUCUAGGGAUUCGGUGUAAUUCUACCUAGGGUAGGCUCCUAGGGCUCAUUAUAUGCAGUUCGACUCUAAAGUAAGGGUACCUGAACCGACAGAUUCCUCGAUCCUCACCCAUUAUAGGCUCACACGGACUGAGUUUAGUUUAGGGGAAUACAUUUCCCUAUGGCCAUGCGGAGAUGAUAAUCUCACGAAGACAUAGGUACAGAUGUAUCCCGGAAGCGAUUCACUAUCCCAUGCGAAGGUGAAAACCUCACGAAGGCGUAGUUUCUCACUCCCACUUAAAAGGGUAUGAGCAAGCGGUCAUGCAAUGCAAUGCAAUGUGCAGAAAUAUAUCCAAACUUAAACUAACACAGCGAUUAUAAAUCAUAAUGAUGAAAAUCGUAAUAAAGACGAAUGAAAAUGCAACGAAAGGAUCGUAUAUUUAAACCGAGUUUUCAAUUUUUGACAAAAAGACAAAACAUAAUCAACUCGUGGCUUGAUUCUCUUAUUUUGGGUCUCCAGUGGAGUCGCCAAGCUGUUGACACCACUUUUUUGAUGAAACCGGAUCAACUUGGGUUUUGAAAACGAAAACGAAAACGGGAGUCGCCACCAAUCCUUUUUGAUAAGGUUUGAUCGGAUCACCUUGAAAAGUGGUUGCUUUUAAUAAACGAUUCAAUUUUAUUAAAACAACAAUUUUGGUCUACGAAGUUCAGAAAAACAGGUUCGGGAGUCGGUUACGUACGAGGAAGGGUUAGCACCCUCGUAACGCCCAAAAUUUGUACCUAAUUGAUUAAUUAGUGUCUUAGUGUCGAAAAUUGAAAAUUUUAAAGAGAUUUAAAAUACGAUCCUUUGUUUUAAAAAUUUAUAUAAAACAAAUCACUCGUUAAAACCCUCUCAUUUCAGAAAGAGAAAAUGUCGUACCUAAUGAGUUAGGGCAUGAUAUUUCACUUCCUCAAAAAUAAGCUUGUCCAAAAAACUCGUGCAAUAAAAUUUAAAAGGAUAUUCAAUUGUUUAAGUCAGAUGAAGAAAUCAUAGUCCAAUACGUUAGGGCACAAUUUCUCAAAAUUCUAAACAUUAAAUGUUGCCUUUAUUUAUUUUUUAGAAAAAUUCUCGUCUCGAGAAAACAACGUGUUAUAUCUAAUGCGUUAGGACACAACGUAUUGAAUUCCUGAUAAUGAUGUUUCAUUUAUGUUUUUUUGAUUAAAGAGCAUUCUCGAUUAUUUAGAUUCAACGAAGAAAAAUGGAACCCAAUACGUUAGGGCUCAAUCCUCUCGAAUCUAAACACGAAAUUUUGCUUAUUCAAAAGUUGAAACUUAUGCGUCGAAAUAAAUUAAUCUAAUUCGGAAUAGUAGAAAUGAAACACGAGAUUAAUAUGCGUACAAAGCAAUAUUGAAUGCGAUAGUAAAAAAUAAUACAAGCAACAACAAUAAAAAUGAAUGGAUAAAGAGGACAAAUUAAUAACACAUAGAAUAACGAGUAUAAUAAGCAAGUAAAGUUAAUAUAUAUUAUAUAUAUAAUGAUGAAAACGUAAAUAAAUAAACAAAUAAAGAGAAUGAAUAAAAUUAUAAAAAAUAUAAAAAAGGAUAUAUAUGUGAGUAUACAUAUUAAAGUUUAAAAAUGAUAAAAAUAUACAUAUAGAUACAAGUAAAUAUGAUAAUUUAUAUAUAUAUUUAAAAAUAUAUUAAAAAUAUGUAUGUAUAUGUCUACACAAAUUAGAAAGUACAAAAAUAUAUAAGAACGUACAUAUAUAAAUAUAUACACUUAUAAAAAUUAAAAAAAAAAUAUGUAUAUAGAUAUAAAUAUAUGUAUACAGUUAUAAAAUAUAUAAAAUAUAAAGGUAGGUAUAAAUAUGUGUAUUUAUAAAAAUUAAAAACGUAUAUUGAUAUAUACAUUAAAAAUAUGUGUAUGAAUUAUAAAAUAUAGAAAAUACAUAAAAAAAGAAAUAGAUUUUAAAAUAUAAAGAAUAUGUAUAAAUAUGUGUAUAUAUAUUUAUGAAAAUAAAAGAGAAUAUAUGUAAGUACGUAUAUAUAUAUAAAUUUAAUAUGUGCAUGUAAAUACAUACAUGUAUAUAAAUUAUAAUAUAUAAAAAAUAUAAGCGUAUAUAUGUAUAUCAAUAUUAGAUAUGUAUAUAUGUGUAUAUGUAUAGAAGCAAUUAUAUAAUAAUAAUAAUAUAAUAAGAAACAUAUAUAUAAAAUUUACAUAGUAAGUAUAAACAAAAAUAUGAUGAUAAUAACAACAAUAAUAAUAAUAAUAAUAAUAAUAAUAAUAAUAAUCAUCAAUAACAUAACAAGAAUAAUAAAAAAAGACUAAUUUGAAUUUUAAAACCGAGAUUGGGGCACAAUCAGAAAUAAAACAAAAAGAGGGACCAUUCUGAAAAUGCGCAUAACAUGGAAAGGCCGAAGGAGAAAUUUCCCCACCCUGAAAACGCAACUCUUUAAUGUGGACUUGAUUGAAACAGAAAUAAAAUGGGAGAUAAAAUUUAAAAGGAAAUAAAAUAUAAAAGACGGACCUGAUCGAAACACGCUUAAAAUGCGGAAGAACCGCGCGCGAAAAUGUCCCAAAAGUCCAAAACGCGCGGAUCCUCACGGUCAAGUCGGGUCAUGCUUGGGUGCCCUAUACGGCGUCGUUUUGAAACCACUAGAGCAGGCCUCAAACGACGCCGUUUUGCGUCUGUUAUAAAAGUAAACAUUUUUUUAAAGAAAAUCAUUCUUCCAUUCUGUUUUAGCAAAAACAGAAAAAACUCUCAUUCUCCCAACUCUCCCUUCCUCUCCAGACGCCGGCCUAGCUCCGGCCAAGGGUACCGGUGGGGUUCCGGCGCCGUCGCCAUCGUCGUGACCCCUUUUCAACCGUUUUAACCCCGGGUAACCCCGAUCUACCCUAAAAACUGGCUAAAAACCGUCAAGGAUCAAUAGAAGACCGAAAAACUCUUCGGUUUCCUUCCCUCCGGCCACCAACAAGGUAAGACCUCCUCUUUUCUUUUAUUAUUUAAUAUGUAAUCUUAUAUAUAUGUGCUAAAUAAAACAACAAAGAAAAUAAAUAAAUAAAUAAAUCAAGAGACAGAAUGAAGAAGAAGAAAGAAGAACAACAUUUCUUCAAAUUUUCGAUUUUUUAUUGAUUCAUCCACAUUUUUUUAAAAAAAAAUCCUCCCUUUGAUUACAUUUCAUUAGGCUCUUAUAGCCGUUUACAUAUUUGCUUUUUGCUAUUGUUUGUUUCUGUUAUCUUCGCCUUUUUCUUGCUUCUGUUUUUGUCUGUUUUUUUUGCAGGCAAGAUGAAGUCAACGAGAGGAGUCUUUGCCAUUUCGGUGCAAGGCAUAGCUGGCGGUGGCAGACCUCGGGCGUUGUACGUGUCGAAGGUGCACAUGGGCAGUAGCGGCGAGAGGAAAAGCAGGGAACUCUAGGGUUCCCUGAUGUUGUUUAAUUUUUGGGCCUAAUUGGGCCGGCUAGGGUUUUGAAAAUUGGACUUCGGGAUUGGGUUAAAAUUUUGUAAAUGGACUCUUUUUGUUUAUUUGGUUUGGAGGCCCGGGAAAAAUUGGGCUACUACAAUUAUCAUAAGUGUUAUCAUUCAAUAGUUUGUAGUUUAUCACCGUUCUGGGUUUUUGUCUUACUUGUUCUGAAUGAUUAUUAAAAAAAAAAUGAUGCACACCUAUGUUUUGAUUCGCUUCUUCAUAUUAGUUUCAUAUUUUCUAGUUCAGCUAUUUGUUGUUUAUACCAUUUUAAUUCUUGAUUUGAUGCAAUUGUAGCGUUAGCUCUUAUUUCUUUAUCUUCGUUUAUAAUUUCUAGUUUGUAUUCUAUUUUUGUUUUAUCCCAAUGGGCUAAUGGUUCUUCUCCUAUUAUCCCUAAUUUUUCUAGUCUACUCUGCAUUUGUUCUUCUCCCAUUUCUUUUACAACUAUAGGUAUUCGAGCUAUUGUUUCCAUAUUGUUGGGCUGUAUAUAUAUUUUUUCAAAAAGUGUAUUCUCCCUUUAUCUGUCUAUGGAUUAUCAACAUAUGUUCCUUUAUAUGCUUGGUUUAUGAUUCUAUAAGACUCUUGUAUUUCUCUUCCUAAGGGUCCAGGUAAUUUAUUUAUUAACUUGUUUUGAAAUUCUUUAUUAUAUAUGUUCUGAGAUGUAGCAGUAUAAUGUAUGUAGUCAUUUAGGAAGUACAUUACAUCUAACCAAUCAUCUAAUGGUAAUUGCUCUAAUUUUCUUACAGCUUCUGAUUGCUGGUAUCGGGAUCUCAUUGAUAGUUCUGAUGCAAUUAUUAUGUUACUUACAACAUUUACAAAAUUAUUAGGAUUUGCUCCUAGCUGUAUAAGUUUACUCUAUUCAUUUUCAUUUCUACUUUUAAAAUUAUCCCAAAUACUUUUGGCCAUAUUUCUUUUCAAGGAUUUAUGCAUCUCUUCUGAGGUAUGCUUAAUAUUAUGUUCUAAGUUUUUUUUUAUUGUCAUAUUUUUCCAUUGUUGAAUUUGUUGAAAAAUAAAAGUUGCUGCUAAGUUUUUAUUCUAUAAAGAAAAGGAUUAGUGAUGGAGACAGAUGAGAAAUGAACUGAUUUCAACAUUUUAUUAGUCUCUAAUCAAUGCCUUUAAAUAGGUAAAAUUCCAACAGCUAAUAGCUAGGAAAUAGGAAUCCCAUACAACAAAAUAUUGAAAUUAGAGGAGUAAUUACAGUAAAAUAUUGAUAAAUUAUUAACAGAUUAUUUGCACAAGACAUGAUCUUUUUAACCAACUACUUGAUUCAAUCAAACUCUACACACACACAUACAGCUUUAACAAACUCUCCCUUAAACCAAAAGCUCGCAAAUAUUUGGUUUAAAAGAUUAUAGCUUCAAACUAAUGGAUCUUCCAAAGUGCAGACACCAAACAACCUUAUUAACUUUUGAAAUGAAGCUCUCUUUAAAGGUUUAGUGAAAUUAUUAGCAAUUUGGUAUUUACUCCUACAAUAAAUCAAAUCAAUGACGCCAUUAUUUGUAAGAUCCCUCAAAUAAUGGUACUUCACAUCUAUAUGCUUACUUCGGCCAUGUAAGACUAGAUUCUUGGAAAGUUUGAUUGCUAAAUUAUUGUCACAGAAAAUUAUUGUUGCUCAUUGCUGCAAUAGGUGUAGUUCAUCAAGUAUUUUCCUCAACCAAAUAGCUUGACAGGCACAAGUUGUUGCGGACACAAACUCGGUUUCAGUUGUAGAUAAAAUGACAAUUGGUUGCUUUUUUGAAGACCAUGAAAUAGCCCCUGAGCCCAGGAUAAAUGCUUAACCUGAAGUAAUCUUUCUAUCAUCUUGAUCACCAGCAUAAUCAUUGUCUGUAAAGCCAAACAAAUCUGAUUUUCACCCUUUUUGUAGAACAGACCAUAACUAGCAGUACCUUUCAAAUACCGAAGUAUUCUUUUUGCAGUUAAAAGAUGAAUUUCCUUUGGGCACUCCAUGAACCUGCUAAUAAGACUUACAGCAUGCAUAAUGUCUGGUCUUGCUACAGUUAAAUACAUCAAGCUUCCUACCAUUUGCUUGUAGAUGGUGCUAUCAACCUUCCUCCUUUCAAGAUCUCGAAUAAGUUUCAUGCCCACUUUAAUAGGUGUGCAAACGAAGUUGCAAUUCUUCAUUUGAAACCUAUCCAAAAUUUCUUGCACAUAUUUCUUUUGAGAAAUAAAAAUUCCAGCAGUAGAUUGUACCACUUCAAAGCCCCAAAAAAAUGAAGCAUGCCAAGAUUAUUCAUAUCAAAUUCAAUCAUCAUAGGCUUCUUGAAUUUGUUAAACAUGACAACAUCACUCCCAAAAAAAAUAAGAUAAUCAACAUAUAAUCAAACAAUAAUAAUUUUACCUCCAUCACAAACCUUGGCAAAAAGUGUAUGCUCAUAUGAACACUUUAGAAAGCCUUCUUUUAGAAAGAAAGCUUCGAUGCGACUAUACCAAGCCCUUGGGACUUGCUUCAACCCGUACAAAGCCUUCUUUAACCUAUACACCUUGUGCUCAUUUCCAUGCUUUACAUAUUCAGGAGGUUGCUCAAAAUAUACUUGUUCUUUCAAAUCACCAUGUAAAAACGCCAAUUUCACAUCUAAUUGGAAAAUAGGCCAUGAAUUUUGAGUUGCAAGAGGCAAUCACCAGCCUGAUUGUAUCAUGACGAGCAACAAGGGCAAACACUUCAUUGUAACCAACACCAAAUUCUUGCUUAUAGCUUUUAGCUACUAAGUGCGCUUUGAAUUUGUCAACCUCGCCAUUUUCUUUUAGUUUUGUCUUGUAAACCCACUUCACACCAAUUGUUUUGUGCCUUUUGAGAAGAUCAGUCAACUCCCAAGUGUUGUUGCAUUCAAUGGUUACCAUUUCUUUAUUCAUUGUUUUUUCUCCGUUUGGACUCUUUUACGGCUUCUUUAAAUGUUACUGGAUCACAAUCUGAAAAUAAAGUAAAAUGUGCAACUUCCUCUUUAUUAAUUUCCUCUACCACAAAAUUCUCCAUCUAUGCAGGUCUCCUCUUGUUACGUUGAGGACGCACAUUUGCUGGUUCAGCGGCUUGUUGCUCACUUUGCACUUGCACUAUUGGCUGCUGCCUUCCAUCUUCCUUAUCACCAUCAAAAUCAGCUUGUAUUUGUUGUUCAGUUUUGUCUGUGUCCCAAUUCCAAAACUGAUCCGCAACGAACACCACAUUACGACUGAUAACAAUCUUCUUAGUGAUAGGACUGUACAAUUUAUACACUUUUGAUUUCUCACUAACACCAAGAAAAAUGCAUUUUUCUCCUUUGUUAUCAAGCUUUUUCCUCUUUUAAUAUGGAACAUGGGCAUAGGCAACACACCUAAAUAUUCUAAAAUAAUCUACAGUCAAUCUUUGAUCACUCCAAGCUUCUUGUAGUGUGAUAUUUUGAAUAGCUACGGUUGGGCUUCUAUUCAAGAUAUGGAUGUUCCAAUUGACUGCUUGUUAAAAGGCUUCAGGCCAUGUUCAAAAUUGUACGAUUCUUCCUUUCACAGAUGUCAUUUUGUUGAGGUGUGUAUGUUGCUGUUUGUUGCUUCUUAAUUCCUUUCUUAGCACAAAAAAUAACAAAUUCUUCUUAAUUGUAUUCUCCACCACGAUCACUAUGCAGUACUUUGAUUGGAGUCCCUGCCUCGUUUCCAACUAGAGCUUUGAAACUCUUAAAGACUGUGAGAGCUUCAAAUUUUUCAUGCCAAUAAUAAACCCAAUUUUUUCUACUAAAAUCAUCAAUGAACGAUAUAAAAUAUCAUUUACCUCCAUUUGACGUAGGAGUGAUCGAUCCCAUAAGUCUGAAUGCACAAGCUCCAACGCCUUCCUUGCUCUCCAUGAAUUUCCUUUUUGAAAUGGUUCUUGAUGUUGUUUACUGAUGACACAUUCUUCACGUACUUGAGAAGGAGUUCGUAUGUGUGGGAGGCUUGUCACCAUAUUCUUUUGCUGUAAUAUUUUUAAACCUCUAAAAUUUAAAUGCCCAUAUCGAAAGUGCCAAAGCCAACUUUCAUCUUCCAACUUUGCAGAGAAGUAUGAGUUGGUAACGAUGUAGAGGUACAAUGGAAACAUUCUGUUAGGUGUCAUAUCAACUUGGGCAAUUAAUCUCAAUUAUUCAUCUUGUAUUUUGCAAACUCCAUCUUUAAUGGAAAUAUCAUAUCCCUUUUCUUAUAAUUGGCCAAUGCUCAACAAAUUUGUUUUCAAAUCCAGAACAAAGAGGACAUUAAAUAUAGUAUGAACAACAUUGAUUUUCGUUUGAAUUAUUACCUCUCCCUUCCCAUUUACAGAGACUUUUGAAUCAUCACCAAACUUCAUGUUGUCACGAAUAGACUCAUCUAACAUCGAAAACGCAGACUUGUCACCACUCAUAUGAUUGCUGCAGCCUGUGUCCAAGUGCCAUAAAUUCUUUUACGUUUAUUUUUUGACAUGACAAGCCAUCAGCAAAGACACUUCUUCAUUUUCUGCAAAGUUAUUUCUGUCUUCAUUUUUAUUAUUCAAAUUAACUUGACAUUCUGAUUGAUAAUGGCCAUACUUCUACCUUUGCCUGUACCUUUCCAUCUACCACGGCCCCCUCUAGUUGUGAGAUGAUUAUCUAUAGAAGCCUUCAAUGCAUGCUCCUCCCUCUCUUGCUGGAAAAUUUUUUGCUCAUGUAUCAAGAAAGAACUAUGCAGCUCAUCAAUUGAAAAUUGCUCGAUGACAUGAGCUUCCUCAAAGGAACAAACUACAAAAUUAAAUUUUGUAGUCAUGGAGCGAAGUAUUUUCUCAAUCACAGCAACAUCAUCAGUUUUGCCACCAUAAAUUCGUAUUUUGUUGACAAUGGCCAUUGUACAUGAAAAAUAAUCGGUUACCGACUCACCCAAUUUCAUUCGUAGUGUUUCAAACUCCGAACGAAGUGCUUGAAGCUGCUGUCUCUUUGCCCUCGCAGAACCCUAAUGUUAUUUCUUCAUGAAAUCCUAAAUAUGCUUGGACGUGUCUUUGCAAAGGAUGGUUUCCAAGAUUGAACGGUCAAUUGCUUGGAAAAGACAAUUUUUUACUUUUAAAUCUUUCAAGUGUAGCCGUUCUAUUUCCUUCUUCUAAGCCUCUGUCACUGCUAUGUCAUUUGUUGGUUCCUCAAUUCCCUCAGAAAUAACCUGCCAAUACUCAUUGGACCUCAAGAAGUUCUCCAUCAACAUAAUCCAAUGAUUGUAGUGUCUAUCAAAGUGGGGAAUGGAUGGUUGAACAAAGUUGUCAGUGGCCAUCACUUUGCUUGGUGUUGCCGCUGCUACUAAAAAAAGCUAAGGCUUAAACCUGGCUUUGAUACCAAUGUUGAAAAAUAAAAGUUGCUGCUAAGUUUUUAUUCUAUAAAGAAAAGGAUUAGCAAUAGAGACAGAUAAGAAAUGAACUGAUUUCAACAUUUUAUUAGUCAUUAAACAAUGCCUUUAAAUAGGCAAAAUUCCAACAACUAAUAGCUAGGAAAUGGGAAUCCCACUACAACAGAAUAUCGAAAUUAGAUGAGUAAUAACAGUAAAAUAUUGAUAAUUUAUUAACAGAUUAUUGGCACAAGACAUUAUCUUUUUAACCAACUACUUGACUCAAUCAAACUCCACACACACACGUACAGCUUUAACAGAAUUAAUUUGGGCCAUAGCUAUAGACUAUAUUUUCCAAGGUUUAGUAGCAAAUCUUCUUCAAAAAACAUCCAAAGGUUGUAUUUGGCCUUUAUUUUUUGUAUGGGUAUUUAGGCUCCCUAUAGUCUGAAUAAGGUCUUACUGGUAUACGACCGUAAUUAUAUAUAGUUGUAGAGGGCUCAUUCUUGGGGGGUUUAAUGGGGUAUUAUUACUAGUAUUUGGUAUGUCCGUUUCCAUGGGCAUUAUUGUCGUGUCCAUUAAUUUUUUUGGGUUUCUUUCUAGAAACUCUACUAUAUCAUUUUCUACAAGAUUGUUAGUUUUUCUAGAUUCUCUUCUAAUAGAUACAUGUUCUAAUAUUUCUUCGUGUCUUACUCUAAAUAUUUCUAUGACUUUAACAUGUCUUUUUCUUAAUACUGCUCUUUUUAUAUAUUGUAUCAUUUCUUUUUCGUUGAGUGAUAUGAAAUAUUCUAAUCUUUUUUCAUACUCUCUAUAAGAUUUAAAAAACUCUUUAUGAAUAUAGAAUUCUUCAUUUCUUAUAUUUUCUUCAUCUUGUUCAUCAUUUAUUAGCUUAUUAUCUAUUUCGAAGUCUGAAUUUAUACUUUUAGUAGAAGCGGGGCAUUCUGUCAAUAUCAAAUGUCUAUGGUUGUAGUCUGCAAAUCUUAUACUUAUAUUUCCUAUUAAUCCUUGAAAUACUUCUCCUUUUUGGGGGGUUAGUUUUGGUCUUUGUUCUUCAAAUAAUUUAUUUAAGUUCCAAUUUUUUUCUUGGUAGAAGCUCGGUUGAAAAUUUUGGGCUUCUAUGACGUCUUUUAUUUCACAUUUAUAAUUAAUAUUGAUAUUUUGAGUGGCUUUUCCAAUAAAUCCAAGAGUUAUCACUAGGUUUUCUCUAUUAAUUAACCUCUAUCCUGAAGAUGUUAUUCCUAAUUAUAUGUUAUGAAUAUCUUUUAUUCUGAGGAAGAAUUCUGGGACGCAUUUAAAGAGUCCCAUAUUGUUAUUCAUGUCUACUUCCAUAAAGCUGAUAAUCUUUUUCUGUUUAUCUUCUAUUGAGUCAUCAAAUAUAGGCAUUAUUACAUGGGCUCCUAAGUCUGCUUGUGCCAUUUAUUACAAAACCUGACACCAAAUCACCAUUUCAAAUUACAAUUUAAAAUUUUUUUUAUUGACAUAAUAUGGAAAAAAGAAGUAAUUUAACUCACAUUUUUUAAUGAAAAUUUUCUAUCAAGCUAUUGGAUAACCUCAAAGAUAGAGCUUUCUAUAACAAGAAUAUCAUCUACGUACAUCACCAAGUAAGUCAAAGACCUCUUAGUUUUCUUGAAAAACAAUGACGAGUCAGCCUUUGAAUCCCGAAAAUCAAGUUGUAUCAAAAGCUCUCUUAGAAAAACUAAUUUCACAAUACUUGUUUGUUGUAUGAAAUCCCCCUUUUCCAACUCUCCUUUUAAUAGAGAUGAAAAUGUAUAUGCUGGCAAGUAAUUAGAAUGAAUUAUUGUGUUGUACAUUUUUAUUUGUGGCUGGUGUGGCUUUGUUCUAUCAUUUUUUUGGAGUCAGAAAUGGUGAGUAUUUGGUAUAGUGAUAGUGUAUUUUUUAGGAUAAAUUACACCAAUAGUCACUCAACUUUGAUGCAGUUGACAAAAUAGUCACUUAGGUUUCAAUUUAGUCACUCAACUUUCAAAGAAUGAAAAAAAAUACUCUUUUUAACCAUUUUCCAUUAUAGACGUAACGAAAAAGUGACAUGGUAAUUGACAGAUUCCUUAUUGUCAUUAAUCGGCUAGCUAGACGUUAAGCACCAAUUUGAACAACCCCUUUUAGCAUCAGUUUAGGGUUUAGGCAAUAAAAGAAAAAGAGAAAAAAAUGAAAAAUUGCACCAGUUUGGGGACUUGAGUAAUACUAAUAAUCCAUUAGAAUUUUUGGAUUUGGCAUUAUAAUGACUGAGCUCCUUCUUGCAAAGUUCCUUUGGCUUCCUUGACUAGGAAAGCCCCUUUCCACCAGCUACUUUAUUUCAAGCUUGGAUUUUGCUUCACCUAUAUCAAUAGAUGCAAACUUGAGCAGAAUGGAGUUAAAAAUUUGGGUUUGUAGGGAUUGGAUUAAGACCCUGGGUGACUCCAACUCAACUGAAACAGUAAAGACACUGCAGCAAGGAUCAGUAAUCCGACAAUUUAAGGUUGCAGUCAAUGCAACAAGCAUUAGAAUGCUUAUCAAGGGUCUGACUGACCUCUUCAUGAGAGUAAUCACAUUAGAGGGACAAUAAAUGGGGUUUGCUAGGUAUGGCCAAAAUAAGAAAAAAAAAGUACAGAUCUUGAAUAAAUCUAUAUUGGGUUCAGACCCAUCUUCAAGUUCAAUAGAUUUUGACAUCCCAAAUAGAGAAGAGGGGUUUAAGCACAAAAAAGAUUCCAUUUCAGUAUUGGGUUUUACAAGAAAUGAAGAAAAAAUACCGAAUCUUCCUUAUUAAAGGACAAAUCAUUUCUUAUUUUUGAAUAAAACUUAGAAACAAAAAGAGGAAUAAAAUGAAAUCUUGAAGUGGGAAAUCUCACAAUAAAGUGAAAUGCAAAUUGCAGAUGAAAAAUACCAAUCGAUUUCUAACCCUUACCCCUAUUAAUCGAUUUUUGAAUCAAUUUUUUAACCCUCAACCAACCUUGAACCCUAAAAUUGAUUUCUAACCCAACACCCUGGUUACUUAUGUAUUGUUAUUGACCAAAAUUAGGCACAAAAGGCUUUUUUGUUUUUUGGUGAUUUAGUAUUUCAAGAAGAAGUUUCUCUAUGGGAAAAAGUUUAGCCUUGGAAAAAUUAGUGAAGUAUAUAUUUGGCUGUGCAAGUGUUGAGGGAUCAAGUGUUGGGGGAGGUUGAAAUUUAUCCACAAUAGCAGCAACUAAGGGAAGAAGAAGAAGAAUAUGGGGAAAAAAGCCUUAACGAUUUUAUAGUCUCUUCUUUUUUUCUUCUUAUUCUUCUUCUGUUAUUAAGGUUUUUUUUUCAAUUUCUUCUUAAAUUAGGUGAGUUUCCACCGUGGACAUAUCCAACAUGGCUAGUUAAUUGGCCACGUCAGCUAGUUAAUUGGCCACGUCACCUGUCCCGUUAGGUCUGUAACGGGAAAUGUUAGUAGGUGACUGAUUUGUAACUUUUCGAUAACGUUAGUGAUUGAUUUGUCAUUUUCGAAAGUUGAGUGACUGGAUUGAAAACUGAGUGACUAUUUUUUCAGUUACAUCAAAGUUGAGUGACUGUUGGUGUAAUUUACCCUUUUUUUAUUCCAUAUAUAAUCUUAAAAAAUUGUCAUUUUUCUCUUUUUCCUUUUUAAAUAUUUAAUAUUUUAUUAUAUUCUUGUAGGACACUUGUCAACUCCCUAAAUCUCUUUGUAAAGUCUAAAAACUCCACUGAUAAUGUAUCAAAUAUUUUCUCAUAAAUAAAACACUUCUUACCUUUAAAAUGAAGAAAAAGAAAAAUGCUAGGUGGUUGUAAGUAGGGGUAAGCAUUCGAUCGAAUCGAAUCGAAAAUUUUUGAGUUAAUCGAGUUUUCGAAUCUCAUUUUAUCAUCCUAACUUUAUUUAAAGUUUUCUCGAAUCGAGUCGAGUGAGAUGGAAUUCGAAUUGAAUCGAAUCGAAUAUAUUUGUUCGAGUUAAAUUUUAAAAAAUAAUUUUGGGUCCUUGUAACCAUUGUCACCCAUCGUAAUAAAAUUUGUCCAGCUUAAUCAAAUUUUUUAUUAACUUUCAUCACUUCAUAAUUUAUUUAUUAAUUUUUUAUAUACUGGUUAGCUUCUUUGCUUGCUUAGUUGUUUUAAUUAUCUUCAGAUUCUUGUCACUAUGUAUUUUAAAAUUAAAAAAUAUAUUAAAUGUAAAAAUAUGAAUUUUUAAUAAAAGUUAUUUUAAAAAUAAAAUGUGAAAUUGAUACCAAUAUAAAAUUUUAACACGAAUAUUUUAUGGCAUAAUUAAUAAUUCAAUUUUAAUAUAAAUAUUCAAUAUGACUAAACAAUUCAAUAAUAUAAAUAAUAUAGAAUGUGAAAUUUUAAUAAUAUAAAUAGUAUAUAUAAAUAAAAUUAUUACUAUUUAUGUUUAGUGAUUUUUUUUGGAUAAUUUUGAUUUUUUAUUUGAGAGUAAAGGGUGAGAACUAAAAGUUUAGGGGAAGAAUAAAAAAUUUUGGAGGGAAAAUAUUAAAAAAAAUUGGAGCGGGGAGGGUUUGGGAUAGAUGGGAGGUGGGAUGGGAAGGGAAUAAAAGUUUUAGGGGAAAAGUGGGAGGGAGUAAAAAUUUUGGGGGAAAAUAAAAUGUUUUGAGGGUUUUGGGGAGUAAAAUUUUGAGAAAAAAUAAACGGGAGAAUAAAAUUUUGGUGGGAAAUGGAUUUUGGGUAGAUUGGGGGGUUGCGAGGGGAGGGGAGUAAAAGUUUUGGGGGGAAAGUGGGAAGGAGUAAAAGUUUUGAGGGAAAAGUAAAAAGGUUUGGGAAUUUGUGGUAAAAAUUUAAAAUAUUAUAGUUUGAUAUUCGAAUUAUUCGAAUUAUUCGAGUUAUUCGAAUUCAAAAACUCAACUCGAUUCGAACUCGAAAUUCGAAAAAAAAUUCGAGUUGAUUCGAAUAACUCGAUUAACUCGAAUAAUUCGAUUCGUUUAACUCGAAAUUCAAAUUUUUUUUUCGAUUUUUUCGAGUAGAAUCGAGUUUAGUUUUCAUCAUAGCUCCAACUUUUUUUUUUUACGUUUUCAAGUUUUGUUUUGUUGGUAGAUUGCAUGAGAUUUACUUUCAAAGCAAUUUGAAGAAUCCAUUGUUCUUUUCAAGCAAUUAAAUGUUCAUAGAAAUCUUCUGUUUAUGUUUAUUUGGUGUCUUAAGAUAUGCAUUUAGAAUACUCACAAAAAUUUAUUAUUAUUAUUAUUAUUAUUAUUAUUUAUUUUUUUAUUUUUUAAAAAAGAAAUCUUUUGCAUUGCCAAUAUUUUAAGAAUUUUUUUAAUUUUCUUUUAAAGAGCUUUUUCUCUAACUUUUGGAAUUAUAUUUUUCUUAAUUUUGAUUUUUUAAGUUAUUUGUUGACAUAAUAUAUAAGGCAAAGUAGUUUCAUAUUAGCAACAAAAAGUUAAGGCCAAUUUGUUUCAGAGGCCAAAUUAAAUAAAUGUGUAAAUAUUAAAAGUUAAAUUUAUUAUUAUUUCUUAUAUACAAAAAGUAAAAAUAAGCGCUUAACAUCUCGAUUUUAAUGGAAUAACUAUUUUAUUGCUUCAUCUAACCUACAUAGAUCAAUUUAGACAAUUUUUUCCAAGCAAUUGACAUAUAAUCUGAAAUAUAAUAAAAAAUACUAUAAUUCUUUCACGUUAUUGAAAAAUAUAUCGUAUAACUUUAUGAUCUAGUGGUAGCAAGUUGGAUCUUUCACUUCUCUAUCCUUACCCCUAUCAAGAUAAAUAAAUAAAGAUAUAUUCCGCUAUCAAUCUAUCGUCAAAUUCAAUGCCCCACAAAUAUUAAAAUUAAGCAUUACCUUAUCUCUAUACUAAAGAUCAAUGACAGAAACGACUUUUGGAUUGCUCAAUUAUCUUAUCUCUUACCAAAUGAAAGCCACAUUAAAUAUCCAAGUAGAACGCAAUAUGCUUUGCAUCUAUAUAAUCCCCGAAAGCCCAGAAGUAGCAUGCUCCAUGAUUCAUGCUACAUGCUACUAAACCCCACUAAGGCACCAAAUUAGCCUUCUAUUCUUUAGGCGGUCUGCUUCAUGCUGAUUUUCCAUACCAUAAAUUACGUUUUUUCUUCCUCCUUUUAAUGGAAUAAUCAUUCUGCCCUUAUUCUACACUUUAACAGUGUUUCAUUAGUUUGUUUAACUUAAUAUUUAUUUGUUGGAAUCACCAAUUCCUUUUUGUUAAGGGAAUUUCUGAAUUCUUCCACAAAAGUUUUUGAAUAUCUAUAUUGAAUAAAGUCGGGAGAAAAAACUCUCAUUGAUGUUCAAUAUCGAUCUUUAUUGAAAAUUCAGUCAUCUAUCAGACCACAUUUUGAAAACUUAUUUUCGAGAGAGCUAGAAAUUCCCUCAAACACUUUUCUAUUCCUUAAACGGCUGUGAUAGUCAUCUCAAUUCCACCCACAGCAGUAACACACCAAAAACAUGACCAUGUCUACGUCUUUCGACCAACCUUUGAGGUCAUCCGCCUCUGCAAAUAAAACGGUGAUUAGUUCGCCGGUGACAAAAAUCAACAAAAAUAAGAAUUCGUAAAACACAACAGUAGACAGAAGAAUCCCGAAAUUCCCUCUAGUUUUUGGUUAGAGGGACUAAAGAUGGGGAACAACAAACUAAAGAUAUCAAUAGGUGAAUAUUCAAAGAGAGAAAGAGAGGAUGAGCGUCAGAAGGAUGGACGAAGAGAGAAAGUGAGGUGAGAAACUUUUUUGCUUGGAUUAGGUUAAAGUUAAAAUACUAUUUAAUAAAUUAUUAAACAUAAAAUAAAAUGUUUUAAAAAUCAAUCUUGCUAAAAUAUUUUACUUUUUUUUCUUACUUUUAAUAUGUUAAAAUAUUUUAUACGUAAUGGUGUGUUUAAUAAAUGAUUGAAAAUUUUUGUUUUAUUGAGAAUGAAUUUUCAACCUUUAAUAUUUUAGUUUUAGAUGUGUUUAAUAAUUAUUUUAAUUUUUUACUUAAUAUAAAAUUUCAAAAAAAUAUUGAAAUAAAUAUUUAUUUUAUUUUAUUUUAUUCAAAAUUUAAAAUAAAUUAUCUUUUUUUUUUGUUGAAAAUGAGACAUUCAAAUUAUCGUAUUUAUUUUCAUCAAAAACUAUCUAAAAUAAUAUAAAAUAUUAUAUUAAUAAGAUUAAAAUUAAAAAAUAAAUAUUUUUUUAAAAAAAUUAAUUUUUAUUAAAUGGAAGCUUAGUCUGUGAUUCAUAAGGUCGUAUGAGAUCAUCGAGAGAAUUGGGCCAGUAGCUUACCGUUUAGCUUUACCGUAUGAAUUAGAGAAAAUUCACAACGUCUUUCAUGUAUCAAUGUUACGGAGAUAUCGAUCUGACCCUUCACACAUAAUUUCGCCUGUUGAUGUAGAAAUUCUGGUAGAUAUGUCCUAUAGUGAAGAACCAAUUAGAAUUGUAGCUCGAGAAGUCAAAUAGUAAACGAAUAGCUCUGGUUAAAGUUUUCUAGCAUCGUCAUGGGGUCGAGGAAACUACCUGGGAACGAGAAGAAGCUAUGAAAGUGUAAUACCUAAACCUAUUUUCUGGUAAAUUUUCAGGGACGAAAAUUCCUUUAGGGGGAGAGUUGUAAUGACCCAUUUAUAGUGGUGUCAAAAGCAAUGGUCUCGGGACCACGAUUUCGACAA
This 77918-nucleotide long non-coding RNA is filed under the name Gossypium barbadense (sea-island cotton). Its description in RNAcentral is "long non-coding RNA (GBAR_LNC021046)". The stretch from base 50332 to 50475 matches the Rfam family "MIR7502 microRNA precursor family". The record is from RNAcentral. Lineage: Eukaryota; Viridiplantae; Streptophyta; Magnoliopsida; Malvales; Malvaceae.